UAUUACAAAACUUCCCGGUGGGUUCCACGGAACUAUCUAAUAAAGCAUCUUUAUAUAACCUCCAUUGACACAGUCGCAUUAAAUUAUUUUCACAUCCCAAAUUUUCUCAUCUGAUCAAAUCUCUCAUCCACUGAACUGUUAUGGCUUCUUCUUCUUCCUCUUGUCCACCUCGAAACGCUAAGAAGAUGUAUGAUGUUUUUCUGAGUUUCAGAGGAGAGGACACCCGUGACAACUUUACUAGCCAUCUUCACUAUGUUUUGUCUCUGAAAAGUAUCAAAACUUUCGUUGAUGACCAACUUAUCAGAGGAGAGAACAUUUCACGGUCUCUUCUUGAUACAAUUGAAGCAUCAAGCAUCUCAAUUAUCAUUUUCUCAGAAAGGUAUGCUUCUUCUAGAUGGUGUCUCGAUGAACUUUUGAAGAUCCUCGAAUGCAAGCACGAUUAUGGACAGAUUGUGAUUCCAGUUUUCUAUCAAGUUGAUCCAUCACAUGUGAGAUCGCAAAGCCAGGAUUCUUCUUUUGGGAAGUAUUUUAGUGGGCUUGAAAAACUUUAUCCAGAGAAGAUGCAAAGAUGGAAGAAUGCUUUGACCGAAGCAGCCAACCUCUCUGGCUUUGAUUCUCAUGUCAUUAGGUACAAUAAUUUUCUAUCUGAUUCUUAGUAUUACAUUAACUAUGACAAUGAGUUUAAAUAUUUAUCCAUAAUAUAUUAAAUAAAUCAUUCUUAAUAAUGAGGAUUAGGUUUUUUUCUUGCACAUUUGAAUAACUUUCCAAUUAUUUUAUUUGAUGAAAUUCACAUUAUAUUAAUUAGCUAUUUCAUAUUGCAACUAAUUAAAAACACACGAUUCUCUGUCUCGCUUACAUAUAUUUGAACUAUGUUAAGAAAAUGUAAGCUGAGUCAGAUUGCCACGUCAUCAGUUGCCAAGCUGUCAUUCUGUUAUGCAGAGUGUCAUUAGAUUCGAAGUUUGUUAAGUUCCUUCCAAAAGUUUGUUACUAUCAGCUAGUUCUCAACUCAUGCUUUACACGUUGUAGAAGAUUCCAGAUCACACUAUAAAUAGCUCUGUAAUGUUUAGAUUGUUAUGUGAGCUUAAUAGAAACAAAUUUUCCAGCUUCUAGAUUUCUCUCGUUAAGCAUUUUCUUUCUCUUUCUUCUUUAUUUUCUUGUUAAACAAACAGAGUCUGGUACUUCUUAACUAACUAUAUAAUUGCUGUUAUUUUUUUACUAGGCCUGAAUCUAAACUUAUUGAGGAAAUUGCCAAUGACGUUUUGAAGAGGCUAGAUUCGACUUUUCAAAGUGAAAACAAAGGCUUGGUCGGAGUUGAAUGCCCCAUUGAAGAAAUUGAAUCAUUGUUAGGCACUGGGUCUGAGGGGGUUUGGAAACUAGGGAUUUGGGGCAUCGGUGGUAUAGGCAAGACAACAAUCGCUGAUGCUGUUUUUAACAAAAUCUCUAGACAUUUUGAAGGUUCUUACUUUGCGCAUAAUGUUAGAGAUGCAGAAGAAACUGGCAGAAUAAAGGACUUACAAAAGGAACUUCUGUCCAAGUUAUUGAAUGAUGGAAAUGUGAGGAACAUUGAGUUUGAACUCUACAGACUUGCUCGCAAGAAGGUUCUAAUUGUUUUUGAUGAUGUGAGUCAUCGAAGACAAAUACAAUCAUUAAUUGGAUGCCUUGAUGAGUUAGCUUCAGGGAGUCGAGUAAUAAUAACAACAAGAGAUAAACAAGUCCUUAAAAGUUGUUGGGCCACUCAAAUAUAUCAGAUGAAGGAAUUAGUAUAUGCUGAUGCUCAUAAGCUUUUCUGUCAGUGUGCUUUUGGAGGAGACCAUCCAGAUGCAAGUCAUACAGAGCUCACAGACAGGGCAAUCAAAUAUGCACAGGGAGUUCCUUUAGCUCUUAAAGUUUUGGGUUGCCAUCUAUGCGGAAGGAGCGAAGAGGUAUGGGAAAGUGCAAUGAGAAAACUGGAAAAAAUUCCUCACGAGGAAAUCCAGGAGGUGUUAAAAAUAAGUUAUGAUAGCUUGGAUGACUCUCAGAAGAAUGUUUUUCUAGAUAUUGCAUGUUUCUUUGAAGGAGAGCAUAGAGAUGAGGUGACAAGCUUUUUUGAUGCUAGUGGCCUCGAAGCUAAAAUAGAAUUAAGUGUUCUUGAAGGUAAGUCUCUCAUAACUUGCUUCCAUAACCACAUAAGAAUGCAUGACUUGAUACGAGAUAUGGGAAGAGAAAUUGUUCGAAAUGAAUCUAUCGAUCAUCCAGGAGAGCGCAGUAGGUUGUGGUAUCACAAGGAUAUUUAUGAAGUUUUGAAGAACAAUUCGGUGAGGAAUAAUAAGUUUUUAAUUGUAUCUUAUUUGUGUUACAUUUAUAUUAGCAAUUUGUCUGAAUAUGUCUUUUUGAAUAAAAAUAGCAUUAAUACAGCUUAAAAUUAAUUGAAAAAUAAUAUUAAAAAAUUGGUAAAAUAAAAUAAAUAGAUCCGAUAUUUCCCCAACUCAGUUUGAAACAUGCCUCUAAAAUCCCCAGCAAACUAGCGCCUUCGGAGAGAGACCCAAAAAAAAAAAAAAAAAACACCUCAAAUCUUAUUGCAUUUCCUUUUCAACUCAAGCUCUGCCCCUAUCCUUAUUUUUCACUAAAAAAAUUUGAUUGAAUUAAUUUUACAUUUUACAUAUUAAGCAUUUUCUUGAAUUUUCUAUUUUACACUUCCUAAAAGCAUUACCCAAAUAGUUUAUUAUAAAGUGAUUGUAAUAUCUCUAUUUGGGUUUGACGGCUUAAAAAUAAUUGUUUAUUUGUUUGCUUCAAUUAUAUACCAACUUAUGAUCUCCUAUUUGAUUGUUAGGGAACUGAAAAAAUCAAGGGUAUCUUCUUGGAUAUGAAUAAAGUCAAUAGAGAGAUACACAUGAAUUCCGAUGCUUUCUCAAAGAUGCCUAACUUGAGAUUCUUGAGAAUCUAUGGAGAUGAGAACAAAUGUAUGGUCUCUCAUUUAGAGGGUGUGCCAUUUGCUGAAGUGAGGCACCUCGAGUGGGCUCAAUGUCCUUUGAAAACGUUGAAUAUAUGUGCGGAGAAACUUGUUUCACUUAGAAUGCCUUGCAGCAAGGUUGAACAACUUUGGGAUGAUGUUCAGGUAUGUAUUUAUUUGAAAUUCUUUCAGUAAUCAAUUCUAAAUACAAUUGAUGCUAUAAUUAAUAUAUGUGAUAGUAUCUGUUUAUUUAUAAAGAUGAUGAUGAUAAUAAUAAUAAUAAUAAUUUUUUGGGGCACAGGAUCUUGUUAACUUAAAAGAAAUAGACCUCAGUGGAUCCGAGUCGUUAACGAAACUCCCAGACUUGUCACAGGCCAAAAAUCUUAAGAUUCUGAUGUUAGGCGGCUGUUUAAGUUUGAUGGAUACUCGCUCAUCUAUUCAAUAUCUAAAUAAACUUGAAGUUCUUUAUCUACGAAAGUGCGAAAGCCUGACGAGUCUUCCAAUUAGCAUUCCUUUCAAAGAUAUCAUUAACUUCCCAGGUGGAAUUGUUAGAGUGCAAUUUAUGCACUAGUUUUGCAUUAUUUACUUCCCUUAAUAUCAAUGUUUUGCACUUAAUAAUAGUGAUUUACUUGUGUUUUACUUUUGUAGGUGCAAUUCUAUUGAUUGAUGAUAUAAUUGAGCUAUAAGAUGAUGUUUAAGGAUGAUUGUUCUCUUAGAGAAAUUAUGAGCGUCAGAAGAACUUUGUUGAUAAGGCGUGGGCGCGUGCUGUCAACUGCGGACCUGCAGUUUUUAGUUUAACGUGUUUUGUAUUUUUGGUUAUUUUUGUAAUUACGAAUUUAAUAUUUCAGAUAUUAGGUUUUUAUUUUAAAUAGAAUUCUAAAAGAGAAGAGAGAGAGAGUAUUUAAGGGAGGAAUCUAUUGUGAAAAAGGGGGGGAUUUUGGAUUGGAGGAAAAGAAAUAAACCCUAGAUCUUAAUUUUUCUCUUCUCUCUAUGAAGAACUAAACCUAUUUUUCUGGUUGAAGGAUAAUAAAGCUUUGAUUCAUCACUACUGUGAGAUCUUUCUUGUGCUUUAAUUGUUUUAUUGCUUUUUGGGUAUUUGUUUAUUCUCUGAAUUAUUUUCAUGAUUAUGUUUGUUAAUUAGGUAAUUAGCCACUAUUUAAUUAUCAACUUAAUCUAUUGUCAAUUAAAGGAUUCAUCGUAUGAAGAAUUUAAUGUUUGUGACAAAUAACAUAGCAGAGAGUUGUGUUGUGAGAAUAAACAAUCUAAUUUAAAUGAAUCAUCAUAUGUGUUGAUUAGGAUUUGGGUCUCUCUGGUUUUUCAGGCUGUCAAUUGAUUAAAUCCUAUGAUCGUAUCUAGGGUUGUCCAUUGAUUAGGGAAAUAACCAACGGUCGUACCUUGGUUAUCGACUAGUUAAGGAGAGAUUGGCUAUUAGAGGGUCUCAAUAGCUAUAACCGGUCUAUUCAUAAGUAAUAAUAAUCUAUAUUUGAAUAAAUGAUCAGUAGUCGAAUCAAGCUGAGUUAAUUCCUUCAACCAGAGCUUUCUCCAAUUUGAAUUACAACUUUAAUUUGCAUUCUUGUUAUUUCAAUUUGAUUUUUAUUAUUGUCAACAAUUCCCCCAUUUUACGUUUUACGUUUCAAAAGGAUUUAAAUAAUUACCGAUCUCUGUGGACACGACCCUGCUCAAUCACUAUACACAAUUUAUUUAGAGUAGAAAUUUAUUUUUGUUGGAUUCGACAACCAUCAAAUUUUAGCGUCGUUGUCGGGGAUUGGUGUCAUUUAUUUAAUCCUUUUUACGUUUUACUUGGUGUAUGGUUCGUUCUUCUCGUACAGGUACACUUUCGUUUGAUCUUGAAAUUGAGAAGACAGCUCGCCAGCUGAGACAGCAGACUAAGCGAGCUAAGCAACGAUCCUCGUCGCCUUUGCUUUUUGAAACAGAUACGGUGCCUAAUUUAGUUGAAUCAUCUAGCGAUUCGGAAGAACAAGUGAUGGAUAGACCUGCACCUGUAGAAAGAACUCUUAGAGAGUUAGCUGAACCAGACUUGAAUCAGCAACCACUCUGCAUUCAAUAUGUAGAUUUGGAGGUAAAUUUUGAAUUAAAGUCUAGUCUUAUUCAUUUAUUACCCAAGUUUCAUGGUUUUGCAGGUGAAGAUCCUCAUAAACAUCUUAAGGAGUUUCAUGUUGUGUGUUCAAGUAUGAGACCACAAGGCGUGACUGAAGAGCAGAUUAAGCUGCGUGCUUUUCCGUUCUCUGUAGAUGGGCUAGCUAAAGACUGGUUGUAUUACUUGCCUCCUGGAUCGAUUACAACGUGGAAUGAUUUGAAGAAGCAGUUCCUCGAGAAGUACUUUCCUGCUUCAAGAGCUGCUAACAUCAGAAAAGACAUUUGUGGGAUCAAACAACUUCCUGGGGAGACUUUGUAUGAGUAUUGGGAGCGAUUCAAACAAUUGUGUGCCAGCUGUCCUCAGCAUCAGAUUUCUGAUCAACUUCUUAUUCAAUAUUUUUACGAAGGAUUAUCAUUGAUGGAUAGGAGUAUGAUAGAUGAUGCUAGUGGAGGCGUGUUGGUGAACAAGACCCCUACUCAAGCAAAGGAGUUGAUCUCAAAUAUGGCUGCCAAUGCACAACAAUUUGGCAGCAGACAAGAUGCCACUUCAAGAACGGUGAAUGAGGUAAAUAUUUCUUCUGUUGAACAACGUUUAGAUAAACUUACUUCCCUUAUGAAAAAGUUUGUUGUAGGUAAUGUGCAACAGGUGAAGACUUGUGGCAUUUGUUACAAUAUGGGUCAUUCAACUGAUAUGUGUCCUACACUUCAAGAAGAACCCGUUGAACAAGCCAAUGCAGUUAGAGGAUUUCCAGGCAUGCCUCAGAGGAGGUAUGAUCCUUAUGCACAAACAUACAAUCCGGGAUGGAAGGAUCAUCCCAACUUCAGCUAUGGAGUUAGGCCGUCAGGAUUCCCACAACAAUAUGCACCAAGACAACCAACACCUCCACAGUCAAACUCCAAGUCAGGUAUAUCUCUUGAAGAAAUUGUUAAAUCACUUGCGACUAACACUCAACAAUUUCAGCAGGCAACUACAGCAAGCAUUCAGAACUUGGAGAACCAAAUGAGUCAAUUGGCGACUACAGUGAGCCGUCUUGAGUCUCAAGUAUUAGGAAGAUUGCCUUCACAAUCUGAGGUGAAUCCAAAGCAAAACGUUAGUGCUGUCAUCCUUAGAAGUGGGAAGGAGUUGCAAGAGCCUAGUAAGAAAGUGACAAAGCAUGUAGAAAAUGAGCUUGAGAAGAAUGAAUUGAUGCCUAAAUCUCAAGAUACGCAACCCACCAGAGCGAAACCCCUACCUAUUGUGAUACCUCCUCCUUUUCCAAGCCGGUUUACAAAAUCCAAGAAGGAGGAACAAGAGAAAGACAUCCUUGAGACAUUUCGCAAGGUUGAGGUAAAUAUUCCUUUAUUAGAUGCUAUAAAACAAAUACCUCAAUAUGCUAAAGUCCUUAAGGAACUGUGCACCUCCAAAAGAAAAUUAAGAGGAGAUGAAAAAGUUCACAUGGGGGAGAAUGUUUCAGCAGUUUUCCAAAAGAAACUACCUCCUAAGUGCAAGAAUCCAGGUAUGUUUACUAUCCCUUGUAAAAUUGGUAGUGUUAGAGUUGAAAAGGCUAUGUUAGAUCUAGGAGCUUCUAUUAAUGUCAUGCCUCGUUCCAUUUAUUCAUCUUUGAAUGUUGGUCCAUUAAAAGAAACUGGCGUGAUAAUUCAACUAGCUGAUAGGUCUAAUGCAUAUCCUGAUGGGGUAUUAGAAGAUAUCUUAGUACAAGUUAAUGAGUUGGUUUUUCCUGCUGAUUUUUAUGUACUUGAUAUGAAAGAUGAUAACUCCUCUAAUUCUGUCCCAAUUUUGCUAGGAAGACCUUUUUCUUAAGACUGCUAGGACUAAAAUGGAUGUACAUAAAGGGACUCUCACUAUGGAGUUUGAUGGAGAGGUUAUAGAAUUCAAUAUGAAUGAUACCAUGAAAUAUCCUAGUGAGGAACAUUCGGUAUUUUCUGUGGAUGUUAUUAACCCUAUAGCGCAGGAAAUUUUUUACAAGGAAAAGACGAAGACAUUUCAUGAUAGAAUGAUUUUGAGAAAGGAGUUCUCAGUUGGUCAAAAAGUUCUUCUUUUUCAUUCUAAGCUUAAACAUUUUCCGGGUAAAUUACGUUCUUGCUGGGUUGGACCUUUUAUUGUUACUAAUGUUUUUCCUCAUGGUGCAGUUGAGAUUCGGAGUCCGAUCUCUGACAAAGUUUUUAAGGUUAAUGGUCAUCGCUUAAAACCUUUUUAUGAAGGUUUUUCGGUGAAUAUUGUGGAGGAUAUGACUCUCGAGAGUCCCAAUUAUGGAGAUUGAUGCAUAAAUGUGUCUAGCCAAAGACAUAAAACAAAGGCGCUUUUUGGGAGGCAAUCCAAAUAAUUUAUUUAUUUUGGUUUUUGUCAUAUCUUCUUUUAAUUUUGAUUCAGAUUUUUUUAAAAAAAUAAUGUGUUUGCUUAUUUUGGUCAGAAGAAAAUUUUUGAUAAGGCGUGCCCACGUCUUAACUAAUAAGUACUUCUGUGAUUUUUAAAGUAAAAUGGUUUUAAGGCGUGCCCACGUGCUUAUUAGAAAAGUACUUCUGAAAUUUUUAGUGUCUCAAGUGAUUCAUCACUAAAAAAAAAAAAAAAAAAAAUUAUUUUAUUUUAUUUUUUUUUCUAUCUAUUUAUUUUAAAAAAGCAAAAAAAAUAAAGAGAUUUUCUUUUGUUCUUUCUUUUAUAUAUAUAUUUAUUUAUUUAUUUAUUAAAAAAAAUUUCAAAAAUCACUGUUAAAAAAAAAAAAAGUUUUCACUGUUCACAAAAUCCCUAAUUUUCCAGAACUUGUUUUCUUCUCCAGCCGCUUGCAGCACACCAGCAGCACCCGCGAGCGCAGCACCAGCAUCGAGCACCAUCCCGCGAGCGCAGCACCAGCAUCCCGUGUCUCGCAGCCCAGCAACGCGCAACGAAGUCCCAGCAGCGCGCAACGCAGCGCAGCACCCGCAAAGCAAGCCUCAGCAGCGUGCAGCGCGAAUCAGCCCCAGCUGCGAGCGCAGCGCGAACUAGCCCCAGCUGCGAGCGCAGCGCGAACUAGCCCCAGCCCGAGCACGCAACGUAACAAGCGUCACCAGCACGCGCACCAGCAAUCCCCCAGCGCGCAGCAACAGCCGCAGCACGCAGAUCCAGCGUCACCAGUUCUCAGCAUCAGUCCCAUCCGCGCGCAACUGAACCAGCAGCCGUGCACCCGCAAGCUCCAGUCGAGCAGCAAUAGUCCGCAACCAGCCUGCGACCUGCAUUCCAGCCGCGUGAAUCGAAAUCCUUGACAAGAUGGAGCAGAAUUUGGCCGCAUACUUCAAGAGUGUGAGAUUUAUCCCACCAUUCCCGCCAAGCCCAUAGACGUUAUGAGGAUCAAAGCUCACAAUUCAGGGAAGUUUUUGCCUUUAAUCUUUUAUCCUUACGCUUUAAUUUUUAUGUGAGCUUUGAUUAUCUUACAUUGGGGACAAUGUAAGUUCUUGGUGUGGGGGAGGGAUUUUUGCAUUAUUGAUGUCUGGAAUUAUUGUUUUCACUCUACUUAUCUUUUUUUCACUCUACUCAUCCUUAAAUGAUUUUGGAGUUAGUAUGCUUUAUAUAUUAUUAAUUUUCUUUUCCUUUAUCUCUCACUACUCUUUUCCCAUCUAUCUCACAUUAUUUACAUCUAUUUUUUUUCUACCAUACUUUUUCAUCACUCACAUUUUAUCUUUCAUUUUUUUACUACAUACAUCUUUCUCGCUUAUUAUCCUUUUUACCUUUACUUUUAUAUCUCACUCAUACCUUCUUCUCAUUCUACACCACUAUUGAUGGUUGAUUCAUUUGAAGAGUGCAUAGGAUUUGAUGGCAAAUUUACCAACUUUGUGAGGAUUUGAGCCUAUGAGCAACCACUUUGCUCUAAUUAUUUUUGUUAUGUGAAUAUCAAUCCUAGUUUGUUUAUUCUAGAACUUGCUUUAUUAUGCAUGUUGAAGCCACAUUACGGGAUUUUAUGCAUUAAAAUGAUAAGGGCAAACCAUUUACCAUUUUUCUAUUCUCGCAUUUUCCUUUUUCUCUACCCGAAGACCUUUAUUUGCUACCUUUGUUUGAGCCUUAACAAUUACCCAUCUAAUUCUCUCCGUCUACUUAACCAUUUUUCUUCUUUUUUGAGCCUCAAUUUAAGGAGAUUUUUGGACUCAUUGUGUGGAUAUAUUUUGUUGCUUUUUCUACCUUGUAAUAAAGUUUCUCAAUUAGAUCAACAAGCAUUAUGCUUGAAUUAAAUUGUGCAAGGUUCGUUUCUUUUGUUUGAUUCAAAAACAAAAACAAAAAAAAAAAGAAAAAAAAAAGAAAAAAAAAAGAAAAAGAAAAAUCACAAAAAAAAAAUGUUUACAUUCUUGGUGACUUGAGUAGAAAUAAGCAUUUUGAUAUCAUAAGUUCAUUCAAUGAGUUCAUUCUUCUCGUUUUGAUCUCUUUUUCUUUCGUAAACCUUUCUUUUUCAUUUAACCCAUUUAACCCCAUUACAACCCUUUUAAGACCCUUAGAUUUUUGCUUUUUAUUCAUGUUUUGUGGAUUGAGAUGUGAUAUAUGAGCAAGCUUAUGGUAAUAGCAUUCUUUGAUUUGAUUUGAGUGGAUAAAUGACACCCUAAACACUUUGAGUGCAUGGAGUGAAGUUAUUGAGAGGGCUAUUACAUCUUGUUGCACUUGAAUUUUGAAUGGAUCUUCUUGGUGGUUGAAUGUUCUUAUUCUAUCUUAUGAAAUUCUAUGCUUUAAAAUCCUUGUCUCUCGAACGUUGAACGACUUAAUUUUUUGAGGUAUGCUUGCUUAAAAUUGUUUUUGGAUGAGUUGAGAUGAGAAUUUAGUGGAGAUUUGAGAUUAGUCUUGAGUUAUAUGCUUGAGGACAAGCAUCAUCUUGGUGUGGGGGAAUUUGUUAGAGUGCAAUUUAUGCACUAGUUUUGCAUUAUUUACUUCCCUUAAUAUCAAUGUUUUGCACUUAAUAAUAAUGAUUUACUUGUGUUUUACUUUUGUAGGUGCAAUGCUAUUGAUUGAUGAUAAAAUUAAGCUAUAAGAUGAUGUUUAAGGAUGAUUGUUCUCUUGGAGAAAUUAUGAGCGUCAGAAGAACUUUGUUGAUAAGGCGUGGGCGCGUGCUGUCAAUUGCGGACCUGCAGUUUUUAGUUUAACGUGUUUUGUAUUUUUGGUUAUUUUGUAAUUACGAAUUUAAUAUUUCAGAUAUUAGGAUUUUAUUUUAAAUAGAAUUCUAAAAGAGAAGAGAGAUAUAGUAUUUAAGGGAGGAAUCUAUUGUGAAAAAGGGGGGGAUUUUGGAUUGGAGGAAAAGAAAUAAACCCUAGAUCUUAAUUUUUCUCUUCUCUCUAUGAAGAACUAAACCUAUUUUUCUGGUUGAAGGAUAAUGAAGCUUUGAUUCAUCACUACUGUGAGAUCUUUCUUGUACUUUAAUUGUUUUAUUGCUUUUUGGGUAUUUGUUUAUUCUCUGAAUUAUUUUCAUGAUUAUGUUUGUUAAUUAGGUAAUUGGCCACUAUUUAAUUAUCAACUUAAUCUAUUGUCAAUUAAAGGAUUCAUCGUAUGAAGAAUUUAAUGUUUGUGACAAAUAACAUAGCAGAGAGUUGUGUUGUGAGAAUAAACAAUCUAAUUUAAAUGAAUCAUCGUAUGUGUUGAUUAGGAUUUGGGUCUCUCUGGUUUUUCAGGCUGUCAAUUGAUUAAAUCCUAUGAUCGUAUCUAGGGUUGUCCAUUGAUUAGGGAAAUAACCAACGGUCGUACCUUGGUUAUCGAUUAGUUAAGGAGAGAUUGGCUAUUAGAGGGUCUCAAUAGCUAUAACCGGUCUAUUCAUAAGUAAUAAUAAUCUAUAUUUGAAUAAAUGAUCAGUAGUCGAAUCAAGCUGAGUUAAUUCCUUCAACCAGAGCUUUCUCCAAUUUGAAUUACAACUUUAAUUUGCAUUCUUGUUAUUUCAAUUUGAUUUUUAUUAUUGUCAACAAUUCCCCCAUUUUACGUUUUACGUUUCAAAAGGAUUUAAAUAAUUACCGAUCUCUGUGGACACGACCCUGCUCAAUCACUAUACACAAUUUAUUUAGAGUAGGAAUUUAUUUUUGUUGGCUUCGACAACCAUCAGGAAUCAAAGAACUUGAAUAUUUGAAUGCAUUCAAAGAACUUCAAUGUUUGACUAUAAUGCAACAACUUCAAAAUUUGGCUCAUCUUUGAUAUUGAAUAGAUGAGCGAGUCUAUUCAAUAAGGUAACAUUUUUCAAGAUUCAAUUAAAUCCCAUUGCUUUUUUUCCGAGGAUGUUCAUGAGAUCUUUGAAAGUUGGAAUCAAACAUAGAUCAAGUUCUCAAUCUAAAAGGACAAAGCACAAAAAAUUAAACAACUUGUGAAAUCUCCCAGUGUUGUCUUAAAUGUCUCCAUAAAAAACAUGGUCGGCCAACUUUGCUCCAUCACCAUCACGCCAGCUCGCUAUGCCACGAGACACCCCCAGCUUCAUCACCAUCAUGUCACGCGAACCACAACUCCUCCACCAUUGUACCGUCUGAUCUCAUCAGUGCACAACACUGUUUCAUUGCCGCCGUGCCUCUUCUUCAUUGUCCUGUCAUCAAGCUGAAGGUUUGACUCUCAGUUUGUACUUGAUUACUGAAUUUGGGUUGGACUUUUAAAUUAAGGAUUGAUUGAAUUGGUUGGUGGAUGGGGUUUUUUUUUUUUUUUAUCAGUAAACUUUGUUGAAUCAGUGCUAGAAUUAAUAAUUUUCUGUUUCUUUUGUUGGAAACUAUUAUGAAAGGAAAAUGAGUUUUCGUCUCUUAUCUUGCCUCGAUAUUUGGCUAUCGGAAGAAAUUUUAUUUGAACUUAUUUCCUUUGUUGGGCUACGAGGACGCAGAGGCCCAAAAUUGCUAGUUGCUUGAUAAUUUUGGGAUAAAGAUGAAUCUUGAAAAAUGUGCGAGGAUUAUAUCAUGUGCCAAAUGGAUUCAUGGUUUGUGUGUUCAUGGGUUAUUGGAAAAGGAAACAACCGUUACUCACAAGAAAAAUGCCCUAGACAAAUGGGAUUAUGUUAUGGUAUGAGCAGAAGCAACAUAAGUGUGAGUUGAAAAUUGUCCAAAACUUAAUUAAAUCAUCCAAAGCAAAAUGUGUAAUGAUGAGGGGUUUGGGUUUUGCUUGUUUGAGUGUUGAAGAGAUCAUUAUUGCGGCUCUUCUGGGAGACAGCGAAAGCAUUUGCUUCCUAAUUCGAGCUUUUUAUUACUAUUACUAUUAUUAUUAUUCUUUAUUUCUCAUAGCAGUAACCAGUCUGAUUCAUCAGAUAUAAAUCUACUGUUAUCAUCAUGAUGAUCGUAACACACAUCUCUCAUUUAUUUCUUCUUGUGGAAAAGAAAACUCAUCUGCCCAUCACUCGCAUUUAGCAUGUUUUGCAAGAAAACAUGGCAAUGCAAAACAUUACCACUGCCUCACGUUAACUUUGCUUGCUUUGUUACUCACAAGAUUACAAAAAGGAUUCUUCUCUUUCACUUUUUGGUAUUUGAAAUUUUGAAGUAUAAAUGUUUAUUAAAUAUUUUAUUGUUUUCGGAGAGUAAUUUAUUUCCACUUGUCUUUCAUCUAUAUAUAUGUAUAUAAUGUGUGUGUGAACACUCUUAAGCAUUUGGAAAAUUUACGAAAAUAACCAUUAAUAUUUUAUUAUUUUCGCAAUUAACCCUGUCAACUUUUUUCUAUCAACAUUAGUCAAACACAAGCCUUUCUUCCCAAAUUACCCUUCUUUACAGAACAAAACCAACAUCGUUUCUCCCAUAUCGCCAAACCAAAAGUAGCUUUUCACUCUUGAAUCAUCAGCCAACGGCGACCGCAAAAGACAACGGUAAAAGUGAUAUCCGAUCAUAAUCUAUCCGGAUCCAACACAAAUCGACAUCACUUAGUGGUAUGAAUUAUUUUCUGAACUUAUUGAACUGAUUCGGGUGAAUCUGAAUCUGGCGACAGGCUGUCUGUCGCAGCAAAACUUGGUGCGAAUGGUUGGUGCGACAGGCACCUGUCGCACCAAGCAAGGUGCGACAGGCACCCUGUCGCACCAAGGUUCGACAGGCACCCUGUCGCACCAAGGUUCGGGCGACAGGUUGCCUGUCGCACCCACCCUGGAGAUUCAUUAAAACUGUAUUAUUUUAAUAGGACUCAAAUAAAUUUUUUUUUAUAAUUUCAGGGUUAAUGGAUUUAAUUGUACUUGAAUUGUGUUACGAUGGUUGGUGGGAGACAUUAGAGAAUGGCCGUAUGGAGUACGUGAAUGGUAAAAAUCGAGCUUUUUUUGUUGGAAAAAAUUAUCUGUUUGAUCAGUUAUUGGCAAGAGUAUACGAGGUGUUACAAAUAAACCCUAAUGACUAUAGUAUCACAAUGAAGACAACUUUGAGAUCUAGUAACACAUUAUAUCGUAUAUGUGCAAUGCCCAUGGAUAUAUGUGAUGAUGAAAUGGUGAGGGUUGUAUUGCAUAUGGCAUAUGACGUAGCUAAUUUUGGAUGCAUUCCUAUAUUCGUGACCACAUCACCUCGAGUUCCGAGUGAAGGUAUUGAGCCACAUGUCGAUACAGAAACUUCGUUUAGAGCAAAUAUGUCUGGCCCCGAUAAUGAUGAAGAGGUGUUGCCAAGGACAAUAUCGCUGCAGCAAUAUUACUCUCCAAUCCACAACAAUUAUGACAACAUUGAUGAUAAUGGUGUUACGUUACAGGAUGUUGGAGCAACGGUAUUUCCAAUAACAACGUCGUUGGAGCAACGAUAUUCUCCGUAUCACAACAAUGAUUUUCGGGACAAUGAUGAUUUUCAUAAUGAGACAGAGGGGGAUAAUGUUUGUGCAGAACCUUCUAAUAAUACGAGGCGGGGCACUCGUUUCAAUAAUGAUGGUGAUGAUGGAGGAGCCGGUCCUUCGAAUGUUCCGUCGUUUCAGCAUGAGGAUGAGGGUGAAGACAAUACUCCUGUGAAUAACAGAGGCAAUAGAUCUAUUCCUUCUAUGGUUCGAUCGAGAAGGAGAAUUGACCCCCUUACAAGUCUUGCUCUAACUUUGCCUUCGAACAUGGUUGCUCCAAGCUUUGUUAGCAGUUGUGACUCAGAUGAUAUCAGCGUGGGUAAGCUAUUUGCUGAGAAGAAUGAGCUUAUAUUACAACUACGCAAGGUGGCCUUUAGAGAUAAGUUUGAUUUCAAGAUUGCACGGUCUACUACGACACGUUUUGAGGCUCACUGUUGUUUAGAAUCAUGUAAAUGGCGUAUUCGAGCAACUAGAAGUUCGAACGAGCAAAAUGUUCCUUGGGUGGUGAAGAGAAUUGAUAAUGUACACACUUGUCAUAAUGAGGUAUUGGUUGAUGGACGUCAUCAAGUAAAGAGCCGGGUUGUCGGUCAUAUUAUCACAGAAAAAUAUAUUCAAGAUAAGAGGAUUUAUACUCCCAAUGACAUAAGAGCAUAUAUGCAACAGGAAUACGGUGUUCAGUUAACAUACCAGCAGGCAUAUAGGGCGAGAGAAGUUGGUCUUGAAAUAGUUCGCGGCAACCCUGCAGAGUCAUACAACUUGCUCCCUAAAUACUCUCACGUACUAACUAUAGCGAAUGAGGGUACAGUCACUCACCUCGAGCAGGAUGGAGAUGGUAAUUUCUUGUACUGUUUUGUAGCACUCGGAUCUUCCAUCAAGGGGUUUAUGCAGUACAUUCGGCCUGUCAUUGCUGUAGAUGGUACUCAUCUGAAGGGACUAUAUCGUGGAAGCAUGUUCGUGGCAACAUGUCUUGAUGGUAACAAUCAAUUGUAUUUGUUAGCCAUUGGGAUCAUGGAUUCAGAAAACAAUGAUGCUUGGGAAUGGUUUAUGCUGAAGUUACACGGAGUGAUUGGUGAUAAACCUGAGUUGGUAAUUAUCUCUGAUCGAUGCACUACCAUAAGGAGAGCCGUUCUUAAAGUAUUUCACAAUGCAACUCAUGGCGUUUGUUUUUACCACGUCAAAGGUAACAUUAAGUCACAAUUUAGAAUGUCCAAAGCUCUUUGGGAAGAAUUUGAGCCUGCCUUUAUUAAUGCAGCAAAAGCAUAUGGCCACGAGGAAUUUAAGAGACAACUUGAAGGGUUGUGGAUGAUCCACUCAGGUGCGGCUGAUUACCUAGAAAAUAAUGUCGGUACGUGUAAUUGGGCAAGGUCUCAGUUUGAAGGUAGGAGGUACAGCAUUCUUACCACUAACAUCGUGGAGAGUGUUAAUGCUUUCAUGAGGGAACCUCGAAAAUUUCCUGUUACUCAUCUUAUUGAUCACUUUAGGAAAAUAUUGCAGCAAUGGUUUUAUGAUAGAAAAAUUGUGGCUGAAUCAAUGACUACUCGGCUAACAACAUGGGCGGAUGAAAUAGUCACUGAGAGGAGAACUAUAGCUGAAAGAAUGAUAGUUCGGCCGGUGUCGCCGCAUCGCUUUCAAGUUAUAGGCGGUGGGCUUAAGGAAGGGUUGGUUGACUUGCAAAAGAGAACUUGCUCCUACAGAGUGUUUCAGCUUGAUCAGCUUGUGUGUGCUCAUGCAAUUGCGGCGUGUCUAACACACCGGGUGGAUUUUAUUAACCUUUGCUCGGACUUUUACACUACAGAAUCGUUGGUGAUGGCUUAUGCACAACCAGUGGAGCCAGUUGGUGAUGUGGCUGAUUGGGAAGUUCCAGAUGAAAUUCAGGAGAUGCAAGUAUACCCACCAGUUGAGGCACCACCACCUGGCCGUCGUAAAGAGCUCAGAAUACCCUCAGUUGGCGAGGACGUUGACCGGCGGACUGUAAGAUGCGGCCGGUGUCAUGAACUAGGCCAUAAUCGUAAGCGAUGUAAGAAUCCUAUUGCGUCGACUCGAAGUUAGUUGUAUUUUGUGUGUUAUUCGUUGGUUAAAACUAUUAUUGUUUUUUGUGUAUUGUACACUUAUAUUUCAUAAAACUUUAUUUUAUUUUAAAGUUCAAAAUGUGAGGCAUUAAAAUUAUAUAAACUUAAGUGUUCAAAUUAAAAAAAAAUUCAAAUUUCAACAUUAAAAUUACUACAUAGGUCUACAAUAUAAUAUCGUCAUUAAAUAUAUCAACCGCAAUCUUCUUUCUAAAAUACUCGACAUGACUAGCGUUAAACUCCAAUCUAAGCCCGAACAUUAAAUACAUCGUAACCAUCAAUACAAAAACACCGCAAUCGCCAGUUCCGGGCUCUUAUUGCGACGCGCUCUUAACUGCGAUAACUUUCCAUGGGUCUUCACUCCGCAACUCAGGUCGGAUAUUGUAGAAGCCAACAUAUUCCAACCAUCGAGGGAAUAUAACUUCAAGUGGCUUGAAUUUCAACUUGUACCUUUUGUUGUCGCGAAAUGUGAGUAAUGAGUCAUAAAUCCAGACUUUAUUUUUCCGAAAGUCAACUCGUGCUAGUACCCAAUGCGCGCCGUCCAAGUUAACAGGGAUGAGUAACUGCAUAUAAAAAUUGUUCAAAAUGUUUGUUAUAUAUGCAAUUGAAAUACAACAAAGAAAAAGCAACAACUCGAAUAUUUUCAUUAUAGAGCAUGUGAAAUGUAAUAAAAUACAUACCAUAUCGACAUCCGUCAUUGAUUUGGACAUUGUGUGCUGUCGCCCACAAAGAUAACUAUUCAAGCGGUCGUCGAAUACCAAUGAUUCGACCGCACAAUCCCCGUUAUUCCAUAACUGAUUCAAGAACACCUAGUAUAUAGAUAACCAAGAAAUGCAUAAAUUAACAAAACUUAAAGGCAAUAAUUAAAAAAAAUUAAAUAGUAUUUAUAAGUUUUGUCGGCACGUUAUCCAAAAAAAUGUAUCAGUAUGUGUGACACGUUGGAGUAAGGCAUUUGGAUACUGCCGUUAUUUCUCGCUAAUCAAGCGGAGAUACUCGUGAAUAUGCUGUAGAGAAACAGAAAUAUUACGAUUUAAAAGAAAAUUUUUAUACACAAAUCCACAACACUAAAAAAACUUCGAAAAUAUAAAUACCUCAUCGCCUAGCCAUCCCAUCGAAGCUGUACCCAAAAUUAUUUGAAAGAAUGACCGCGGGUGCUGGACUCUCCGGCGGACUCUGAUAUCACCAGUGAACCAUCGAUCAAACUCAGCAAACAGACUAGAGUCCUCCAAUCCUCUCAGUGGAUUUACAUCCACACUCGUACUCAUGUCAAUCGCAUGCUCCAUGAUUUGGGGUCGAGGUAAAGGCCGGACGUUCUGUCCUCGCCUGACCGGAGGAAUCAUGUAAGGACUGUUAUAAACAUACGAUGGUAUGUACGCGCGGCCGAACUUACUAACGCCCGGAGGCACCUCUGUGAACACCUGCACGCUCUCCCCACUAACAUCCCCGUACAAACUAUACAAUGACGUAGGCGUAGACAAAUUUUCAUUGCCCACGUCAGUAUACACUCCAUAGUCAUCCGGGGCCUGUACAUUCGCCAAAAAGAACAUAUUAAAUAACUAUCAAAUUAAAAGUUAAACGAACAUAAUUAUUAAAUUUAAAUUAGCUUACCGCAUACGAGCGUGCAGUGGGAGAAUCCUUAUUUGGACGUUUAGAAAAUGUGUCGAUGAAGCCAACAACGGUUUCUUUAAAAUCUUUUAAUUCUGACUUUAUUUCAUACACGUUACGAUCAAUCUUAUCCAGCCGUCGUUGUACGUAAUCAUUAAACUGCUUUGUCCUCGACUAUUACAAAAGAAAAAAAUAAAACUUUAGAAUAACAAUAAAAAAAUAAUAAUUGAUAAAGGAAAAUAUCGUAUAUUAUUUCUAACCUCAGAAUCCCGUGCGUCAUCAAAGUUGUCUGUUUGCUGCUGGUGGUCAUCAACAGCCACCUCAUCCUCAAAAGUGUCAUGACCCACCUCAUCCUCAAAAGUGUCAUGACGCUGCUCUGGUAUUGGGUUUGGUAUGUCGUCAUGAUCGUCAUGCUCGUCUGAUUGCCUUGUAACCGACGGCAUCGCGUUGAUUGAGGGUUGGUGCUGUAUAAAGUAUCAUUUAAAAUUAGUAAAUGAAAAGUCAAAAAUUUCGAUUAACAAAUUUUUAGUACUUAGAGUAUACCGACCUUAUGAACCCAGUCUGGAAUGCUUGGCAAGUAAUCCUUCACAGAGAGCCAAUAUUUUCUGCUACUCUCCUUUGAAUUUGGCUCAAGAGUUUGUAAAACGUCCCCCUGCCAUAAAUUCAAUUGAAAAUUUUAAGUAAGUAUACAUAACUUAAAUUUAGUAAAGUUAAAAAAAUAAGUAAUACAUAUUACUUACAAGACGAGAUUUGUCGUUGAAGAACGAAUAAACCUCCGCAAAGUUGAUUCUCGAAGACGCCAUGGGCUUCCAUUGCAGAAUGCGGGGAAUCUUAUUCUUCGUUUUGACGACCCAUGUUGAUGGCAACCCUCCGAUUGCUUCGUAAAUCCAAGCCUACAACAACCAAAGUGAAAAAUCAAAUAAAACAACUAUCAAAUAUUUAAUACUAUAAAACUUAUUAAUAAACAAAAAAAAAAGCACCUGAACCCUAGACGUAAAGCCGUAAAGAUUAUAUUUUUCAAUAUUAUGAUCUGGAUUUUUCAACCGAGUCUUCUUAAAUUUCUCGUCUUUCUCGAACAGUGCAUUGUCAAGACUCUCGUAAAUCAUUUCCCACGACAAUAGACCCCAUGGACGCUUUCGGAAGUACUGUAUAUCAUCAACUUGGUCAAGCUAAUCGAAAUUAAUUUGACAGUGAUUUUUUCUUGCAUUUAGUACUCUGUCCGCAAAAUAAAACAGCGCAAUCUUUAAUGCGUCCAUAUCGUCCAUUUCCUCGAAUUUCAACUCCUUAAAUACUGCAUCGAAUUGCUUCACAUUAAUCUUACGAUGCACACCACCAAAAUAUGUAUUCCGUAGCCUCUGCUCCAUUUCAUCAUUUUUUUUAUUGGUAUCAACACCAAAUGAAAGUCCAGUAACCAAGCACCAUUCGACAAUUGACAAGCGAAUCAAAUGCUUACCAAUUUGAAACCAUAACUGAUCCUCACGGCUAUCUUCUUCAUAGGCCACUUGCCGCAGUAAAAGAUUGUGCAAAAUUACCCCACUAAAUGGAAAACUUCGACACUCCAAGAAAUGCCCAAAUAUAUCCUUUUUGAACAUAAUCAACUGCCGCUUUGUUAAUUUUUCCUCGAUGGCUUUUACGACCGAAGAUAACAUACACAUGCUCGAAAUUCGACCAGGAAAGUGAUCAGCAUAACGAAAAUACAUCUUGCCUACUUCAAUAUCCGAUGAUUCUGAUUUCGCCAUGUAUCUGUAAUAUUUAUAAAAUUAAUACAUUACAUUUACAAAAAAAAAAAACUCGGUAAAAAAAAAAACUCUAAUUUUUUGUGCGACCGGCGCACCUGUCGCACCAAACCUGGUGCGACAGCAAGCCUCUCGCACCAAUCUGGUGCGAGAGCGCGCCUGUCGCACCAGAUUUGGUGCGACAGCGUGCCGCGCAUGGGCGCGCGCGCGCCCUGCCCCCUCCCUCCCCACCCCCAAAAUUAAGCACAAUCACUCCAAAAUCGAAAACAAUACUCCCAAACACCACCAACCACCACAAACAUCAUCACCACCACUAUUAAUCUCAAGCUAUAACUAUUAUUAUUCUAAAAUCUCAUUUUAAAUUAAUGAAAAUAAGAAAAAUGACUAACCUAGGUUUUGUUGAAGGUUGUAGAUUGUAGAUCGGAUGCCGGUGAGAGAUGGAGCCGCCGCCGACGAGGGUUGAUGUCGCCGCCGAUGAUGGGAGUUGGAUCGGUUUGUGAGAGAUGAGUGAAAGGGAGUGUUGGGGGAGAGAUGAGGGAGGGGUAUUUUGGUCUCAAAUGUUGUUUUAUGGCUAAUGUUGGUAGAAAUAUUUUUGGGGGGUUAAGAUGAAAAAAAGGGAAAUUUUUUUUGUUAUUACUGUAAAUUUCCCUAAGCAUUUUGGUUAGUAUAUAAUAUAACGUUAGAUUAACUGAGGAAAAAAUUGAAGGUAGAAGGUACUCAGUCACUAGGUCAGUUAAGUAUGCAAUUGUUUGGAUCACACAUUAUAGACCAUAGACGUCAACAAAAGUGAUUAUUAGAUAUUGAUGUUUAUAUUGUCUUGUCCUAAUAAGACUGAUCUUAAUAACGCUCGAUAAAAAGUCAAUUAAUGAUCCAUUUGAGAUUCAAGUGUUACGAAAUGUCACUGAACUAAAAAUAAUGGUUAGUAAAAGUUGGAAUCAAAGAACUGCCCUCAUCCAUCGAGUGCCUAUCUAAUCUGAAAAAACUAUAUAUUGUGGACUGUUCAAAGCUUGAGAGCAUCUCAAGUAGCAUAUUUAAGUUGAAGUCUCUUCAAUCUAUUGAAAUCUCUAAUUGUUCAAUUUUGAAGAGGUUUCUAGAGAUCCCGUCUUGUAAUAUAGAUGGAGGUAUUGGAAUUGAGCGACUAGCCUCAUGUAAGUUGGUACUGGAAAAAUGUUUAAGUCUUCAGAGUCUCCCUAGCAGCCUGUGUAUGUUCAAAUCUCUGACAUCUCUUGAAAUCAUUGAUUGCCAAAAUUUCAAGAUAUUGCCUUAUGAACUUGGAAAUUUAAAAGCCUUGGAGACGUUGAUCGUUGAUGGAACUCUUAUAAGAGAAGUACCGGAAAGCCUUGGUCAAUUAUCCUCACUAAAAAUUUUGGUACUAACUAAUAACGGUUUGAAGAGAUUACCAGAAAGCCUCAAUCAGUUAUCCUCACUAAAACGUUUGGUACUGUCUGAUAACCCUUUGAAGAUAUUACCAAAAAUCCUCAAUCAGUUAUCCUCACAAGAAUAUUUGGAACUGUCUGAUAACUAUUUGGAGAGAUUAAAAAAAAUCCUCUCGGAGCAGCAAAUAUCACUAGAAUAUUUGCUCCGAUCCGGAACGAGUAUCGAGGGAAUACCAGAAUACCUGAGGAGUCUUCCAAGUAAGUUGACAUCACUCAAUUUAUCUGUUGAGUUGAGAAAUUGUUUGCAAUUAGACCCGAAUGAGCUCAUUGAAAUCUUUAAAGAUGAGUGACUUAAAAUUCUUAUGAAUUGCUUAAGUAUGCAAGCAGAGCAGAAAACAAACAAUCUUUGUAUAUUAUGAUAUAACAUGAAUAAUAAUAGAUAUACACAUCCUUCACAUAUUUAUACUAAACGUGAAAAAUGGUAGCUUGCUCAAAGGGAAACAGAAAUGAAUAAGACAAAAGAUUACAGCUGCACUAGCCAAUCAUUGAAACAUUCUAGAAACUCCAGCUUGCAGUAUUCACGUGUAAAUAUUCCCCUGCAUAACAGUUUUGCCAGCUCAUUGAAGACACCUCAGCUUCUUCAUCAGCUGGCUGCUGGAUAUGGCUGCUCAGGUGGCAUGCCAACAUGGCCUUGGGGUCAACUGUUGACUCAUCUUCAUAAUCUGAAUUCUCAACAGAGUGGAUGAAGCAGGUGUGUCUCUUAACUCACUCCUUUCAUUCUAUUCUCUUUUUCUUUUUUCUUUAAUUCAAGCUAUCAUUACUUUUCAUAAAUUAAUAAUUUUUUAUUUUUGUGUUGCAGUCGUUUGAUGGUAACAUUGGGAUCGCUAAAAGUAUGUAUUUCCCUGGGAAUGAAAUUCCAAAGUGGUUUAGGUAUCAAAGUAUGGGAUCUUAUGUAACCUUGAAGACGCCACCAGCAGAUUUCUUCAAUAAUAAAAUAUUAGUAGGCUUUGCUUUUUGCAUUGUUGUAGCAUUUCCAGCCUCAGAGUACUUUGAGCAUCAAAUCCCAAGGACAUCUCGACCGUCGUUCUUUGGGAAUUAUGACGUGUACUGUGAUUGGAAACACAAAUCACAGUACACGAUUUGGGAAUUAUUGCUCUCUGUUGGGUGCAUGAUUUGGAUAUUCUUAUUAUACGCUAAUAUAAUAGCAAGGUAAAUCUUGUUUCUAUUAAUUGAUGAAGUUACUGGCUGACUUAUGAAACAGGUACAUGUUCUGGUUGAGGUAGUUUCUGGUGCUUCAAAUGCUACACCAAGCCUAGAAGAUAUCCUUUGCUUAAGAGAAAGGCGUGGCUCUUAUGAUUAUGUCACAAAAUAUUUGUGUACGUAAACGCAAUGAUUUGACUUGUACGUGGUUCAAAACUUCAAAUUUCCUUUUCUUUGUCACAAUAGUUGAUUGUUUGGAAAUGAGGCAGAGCACGCUAGUGAUACUGAACAGUGUCAUUUUCCAUUAGUUCAAGAUUGUUGGGAUGAAUGGUUCGAUCAAAACUGCUAAAUGGUUGCUAAGAUCUUUUCUCAAUGUCCUCCAAAAUCUGUUUGCUUUUACUGGAAUGGAAAUACAGUGCCAAGAGGAGGAGGUGAAGACACGAUCUUCGAAGAAAGAAAAUGAGGCAGAGCAAGCUAGCGAUAUUGGACAGGGUAUACAUGCAGGGGCACGACGGCAUUCUUAUUUCUCUCUCCAUCAAUUCUUAUUAAGGAGCCGAAGGGAUGUAUUUUAUUUCAUAGAUUUACUUCUUCAUUGAAUAUUUUGCUACUAUACCAAUGAUGCAACUUUUUGUAAUAUAUCUGAGUUGAAAUGAUGCUAGAGCUUGAGGCGAUCUUUUUUUUUUGGCCUUUUUGACAGUUCAAUUGGUGACUCUAAUAACUCCGUUGAUUGUCUUAGAUAUUUUUGGUGCAUAUAUGGUUGCAUUUUCUUCCUGAAAUUCUUGCUUAGAAGAUAGACAACAAGAUUUCAAUGCAGCAAGGGCAAGAUUUCAAGAUUUUCUUCCGCAAAUUCUUCCAUAUUGUCUUGCUUUCCUUGAAACUCUUUAGUAUCAAGAGCUGACCUUACUUCGUUUGGAGACAAUGCGUGCCUCCUAUACAUCAAAGCAUCGACAAAAUGCUCAUAGGACUUGGGAAGAGUGUGAAUUAAAAGAAGACCUUUAUCCUAAUCAUUUAAUGCCUCAUUAAUGGUCUCCAAAGUAUCACGUACUUCGUUAAAUUCUUCAAGAUGAUCAUCAACAGAUGAGCCUUCAACCAUCUUCAACGUAAACAUCCUCUCCUUGAUGUAAAGUCUGCUUGAAAUAGACUUUCCAACUUGGUCCACAAGUCAGGAACUGUCGUUUCUUUGGCCACCUCUCUUAUCUUGAGUCUGCAAGGCUCAAGAUUAUUGUGCCUCUAGCCUUUUUAUCAAUCUCUAAUUAAAUGUUCUCUAAUCAAAUAUGGCGCGCACGAGUUAGUAAAAGCAUGUGGCACGCACGUGAGUCAACAAGAUUGGUUCCAAUUUCCAAACAAUGUCCUCUGGCUGUCAGUUCUUCGGAUUAGCUUCCUGUAUGCGUUGUCGUCCAUUUCCAAAUAAUAUACGUCAGCUAAUUCCAAAACCACAUACGACAUUGUCUGUCGCUCUGUUUUGAGAUCACAGAUUCAACUUUUCAGUGUUAUAAAAUUUUGGAAAUGAUACGUCUUUGUCUUUCCAUGGAACAUAAUAUACAAAAGGAUUUUUGAAUGUGUUGCGUCGUGUUAUAAUUGGACGCUCUUUCAAUAGGUAGAAUCAUUCAUUAUUUGACAGCUGGGCUACACCAAAAAGCAAGAGGAAAAACAUUUUCAAUAUUCUUUAGUGAAUUACUAUUUUGGUAUUUAUAUAUAUAUAUUCCGUUGUCACAUUCAAUUAUUUUCAUCUGAUCAGUCUCUUGUCCAUUAAUUAGGGAUUUCAUUAUUUUUCAUCAAUUGAAUCUUUAAAAUGCAAUUGCUCAGAUGAACAUUAGUUAAUUUAAUUCGCCCAGUUCUGAUUUUCGUUAAAUUAAUAUAGUUUUUGAGUGUUAUAUGAGAGAUGAAUUUACAAAUCUUUAUGUCUGUGUAAAGAAAAUUUUCAGUCAAAAUCUCUGAACAAUUUUUCUAGAAGAAUACCACUUCCAUGAAAAAUUUGUUUUUUAUUUCCUCUUCAAACGUAAAGUUUGCGUCACAUACAUUAGUCGAUCGGUCUUCAACUAACCUUUUUUUUUUUAAAUAAAAAAAAUGAAUGGUUCUCAAUUAGCUUAGUAAAGUAGACAAUGAGAUGAAACUACCGCGAAAUUAACUACAAGUGACGGGAGUAUGUAAAGCAUCUAUAUAUCCCACGCGCAUUUCAUUCAAUUAAUUAAUUAUCAUCACUAUCCUAUCAAAUGGAAGGUUCAAAGAAAGUAUUUGUUAGAGUUUUUUUUUUUUUUUUUUUAGUUUAAUCGUUCGAAAUGAUUAAAAGGUAGACGACUAUUCGCGAAAGUUGAGGUAUAUAUUGAUGAGCUACCAACGUUUGUUUGUAUUCUUAUAUUACCAACGUAUUUUGGUCAACUUUGCUAGCAUCUAAUAGAAAAUCUAUGUAAAAUUUAUAUAAAAAAAAUUGAAAAUUACUUAUACAAUUUUGAUCUUACAAAUUUAUAAAAGCUAAAUAAAUAGGUUAGCACGUAUAGGUAUUAAGACAACUUUUGAUUUUACAGCAUGUACUUAAAUAAAGAAAGUCUUUGAUGUUCUGGUAGCAUUGCACCUUAUCCAUUCAUUACUUAUUACAUAAUUAAAAAAAAAAAAAAGGCAAAUAUUUCGGGCACUGUAGCAGUUCUCCAUAAUUAAUGUCUACUUCGAGUUUAACUCAACGACCACUCAAAGCAGCUUCAUACGAAGUUAAUAAUUGGAUGGACUUGAAAAAGGAAUGUUCAAAAAAGUAGUCAAAGGAUUUAUACUUUUCAUAUUUUUUUUUUAAAUUUAUUUUAGCUGUCAUCAAUUAUUUGUUUCUUCAAUUGAAACUGAGAUGAAACUGCAACGAAACUUCCUGGAAUUAAGGUUCGAAGCAAGCAUAUCUGUAUACACUCUGCACUGACAUUCAUCUAUUUUCACAUCUACCAAUUUUUCGGAUCAAUUGAACUACUUCUGUUAUGGCUUCUUCUUCUUCUUCUUCUUUAUCUCCUCGAAACAUUAACAAGUAUGAUGUUUUUCUUAGUUUCAGAGGAGAGGACACCCGUGACAACUUUACCAGCCAUCUUUAUUCUGCUUUGUCGCUAAAAAGUAUUCAAACUUUCAUUGAUGACCAACUUAAUAGAGGAGAUGAAAUUUCACAGUCUCUUGUGUAUGCAAUUGAAAAUUCAGCCAUUUCACUCAUCAUUUUCUCUGAAGGGUAUGCCUCUUCCAGAUGGUGUCUCGAUGAACUUGUGAAAAUCCUCCAAUGCAAAAGAGAGUAUGCACAGAUUGUGAUUCCAGUUUUUUAUCGCGUUGAUCCAUCGGACGUGAGAAACCAAACAGGUCCUUUUGGGGAUUCAUUUUCAAAGCUUGAAGAAAGAUUUAAGGAGAAUUCCGAGAAGCUGAAGAGUUGGAGGAAUGCUUUGAAGGAGGCGGCCAGUUUUUCUGGCUUUGAUUCUCAGAACUUUAGGUAAUUAAAGUUCUUUCCUCAUACCAUAAUGAUGAUGCCACAUAAAGUUAUUUUCUGCUCAAUUAAUUACCAGCACUCCUGAUAGUUAUAGUGAUAUUUUUUGUCAAAUAUGCUGAAUUAUAUACUUCAAUUUUAUUAGGUAUCCUAAUGCUUUUCGCAAGUGAUUUGUGGUAUUGAUCUUUGAUAGUGACAAUUGGUGUGUUGAAUUCUGUACGUGAACAACUUGUAGAUUUUUCGAAAUUUAAAUUCUUUUAAAAGAAUUUUGAAGGAUUAAUAAAAACGGUAUUUAUGUGUUUUCAUUGGGUGUCCUGUCAUAUUUUAAGUAGUUUCAAUAUGUCACUCAUAUUCUUGAAAUUUAAGAGUUAUUGAUUCAUACUUGGUGCAAAUCCAUCCUAUUUGAUUUUACUGCUAUUUAACAUAUUUGUUAGGCUUGAAUCGGAACUUAUAAAGAAAGCUGUUCAUCACAUUUUGAAGAGACUGGCUGAAAUGUCUCCACGUAACUACAAAAACCAGUUGGUUGGAGUAGAAUCAAGAGUUAAGGAAAUUGAAUCUCUAUUAGGUGCUGAGUCAAAAUAUGUUUACACUUUAGGGAUUUGGGGCUUCGGUGGUAUGGGGAAGACAACAAUUGCUCGAGCUAUUUUCGAUAAAAUCUCUAGUAACUUUGAAGGUUCUUGCUUCCUUCAAAAUGUUAGAGAAGAAUCACAAAGACCGGGAGGAUUAGCUUAUUUGCGACAAGAACUUUUUUCAAAAUUAUUAAAGGAAGAAGAUGUGAUUCUUGAUAUUGACCUAAACUUUAGAAGGCUCAGCAGCAGGAAGGUUUUGAUUGUUUUUGAUGAUGUGACUUGCUUCAACCAAGUAGAAUCCUUAAUUAGAAGUCUCGAUUGGUUCAUGCCUGAGAGUCAAAUCAUUAUAACCACAAGAGAUAAACAAAUUCUUAGGAAUUGGGGAGUGAAAAAAAUAUAUGAGAUGAAGGCAUUAAUGUUUAAUCAUGCCCUUGAGCUUUUUAGUCGACAUGCAUUCAGACAAAACUAUCCGCAUGUGGGUUAUGAGGAACUAUCAAGGAAGGUAAUGGAAUAUGCUCAAGGUGUUCCUUUAGCUCUUAAAGUUUUGGGCUGCUUUCUAUUUGAAAGGGAAAAAGAAGUAUGGGAAGAUGCAAUAAACAAAUUGAGAAGGAUUCUCCAUCCUAGUAUCCAAGAGGUACUAAAAUUAAGUUAUGAUGGUCUGGAUGAUAAAGAAAAAAACAUUUUCCUAGAUGUUGCUUGUUUCUUAAAUGGUGAGGAUAUAUAUUCGGUUAUGAAGUUCCUUGAUACAAGUGGCUUCUACCCAGAAAUUGGUAUUAGUGUUCUUAUUGAUAAGUCUCUCAUUGCUGUUUCGUGCAACAAGAUAACAAUGCAUGAUUUGCUACAAGGAUUGGGUAGGGAAAUUGUUCAGCAAGAAUCAAUUAAUCGUGGAAACCGUAGUCGAUUAUGGCAUCACGAGGAUAUCUAUGAAGUUCUUACACAUAAUAUGGUAAGCAUUUUGUUGGGAUUAUUAUUUCUGAAUUAUCUUGCAUUUACUAAGUUGAUAUUGUACAUAUAUUUAUAUACGCUGAAACUAAAGAAUCAUAGAAUAUAUAGAAAAGUGACAAUGAUUUAAAAAAAAAAAGUUUUUAGAUCAUGUAAUGUAGCAUUAAUAAAUAAUAAAUACCAUGCCAACAUUUAUAUUAUCUUUUGUACGAAUAUAAAAUUUAUAUGUCACUUUUGUAUAGCAAACAUACAUAGUUUAUAUGUUUGGUGUUACUUGUAUGAUUACCCUUUUUUUGUAGGUUUGCAAUAACGAGUUUGGCCGCCUAACAAUAAUUACCAACUUGCGUUACAGAAUUGUAUCCGAAUUAAGUAUUUAAACUAAGCAAACUUAGUACUAUUGUUACGUAAUUUUGAUUUUAACUUUAUGGUCUUUCAUUGGUUAUAAGGGGACUGAAAAAAUUGAGGGCAUCUGCUUGGAUAUGUCUAAAGUGAAGGAGAUCCAUAUAAAUUCCAAUACUUUCACAAAGAUGUGUAGAUUGAGAUUUUUGAAAUUUUAUAGCUCAAUUGAAGGAGAGAACAAAUGUAAGGUGUCUGAUUUCCAAGGCCCUGGAUUUGCUGAAGUGAGGUAUCUUCACUGGCAUAGAUAUCCAUUGAAAUCAUUACCAUCGAAUAUUCAGCCAGAGAAGCUUGUUUUACUUGAAAUGCCUCAUAGCAAUAUUCAACAACUCUGGGAUGGUGUCCAGGCAUGUAUAUCUUUAUAUAUAUAUUCAUGUUUCAGUGAUAAUGUUAUAACUAUGAUCAUACAUGCUAAUAUUUUUCUCUGCCUCUUUUUUCGAGAGCAGCAUCAUGGUAAGCUAAAGCAGAUAAUCAGUGUUGUCUGUAAUAUUUUUACCAACACUCCAAAGCCCUUGCUGAUUCCACAUCUGGACAUGCUAGUUAUCUUGAAUCUAAGCGGUUGCUCAAAGCUGAAGAGGCUUCCAGAUAUCUCAUCAGCUGGUAAUAUGCAAAAGAUAUUUUUAAAUGGAACUGCAAUAGAAGAAUUGCCUUCAUCGAUCGAGUGUCUACGUGGGCUUUUGGGCUUAUACCUUGAAGACUGUAAAAGUCUCAAGAGUCUCCCAAACAGCCUAUGUAACUUAAAAUCUCUUGCAUAUCUUAACCUCAAUGGUUGCUCAAAUCUUCAGAGAUUGCCUGAAAGUCUUGGUCAGUUAUCCUCACUAGUUGAAUUGUAUCUGGAGAAAAACAAUUUGGAGAGAAUACCAGAAAGCAUUGUACACCUUUCCAAGUUGAAAUUUCUCUUCUUAAGGUAUUCUCAGAGGCUUCAAUCCUUACCAAAGCUUCCAUGCAGUCUAUUUAAGUUGGAUGCCCAUCGUUGCAUGGCACUGGAAUCAUUGUCAGGUUUAUUCUCAAGUUACGAAUCUUAUCGGCAAAAUUUUGACCUGAGCGAUAAUUUUAAAUUGAACCAGAAUCAGCUCAGAGGAAUUGUCGAAGAUGCUAUGCUAGAAAUUCAGAUUAUGGCGACUACUCGCUGGAAAGAAGAAGAAGAGCAAAAUGUCUGUGCGUGUGGUUAUUUAUUUUUAAAAAAAAAAUCUGCACAAGGCUUUUUUUUUGGUUCUUUAAUAACUUUAAAUAAAAAUUAACAUUAUUUUUUUAAUUACUAUUUUGGUGAUGCAGAGAUAUUUCCCAUCAUGUGAUGGUCUCGUCAUUUUACCUGGGAAUGAAAUUCCAACGUGGUUUCGGUUUCAAAGUAUGGGAUCUUCUAUUACCUUGCCACCAGGUUGCUUGAGUAAUAAAAAAUUACUCAGCUUUGCUUUUAGCGCUAUUGUAGCAUUCCCACACCAUCAUUUCACGGAAAGGAAGUUUCUAUUGUUCGGUGAAUUCAAAGUCAAAUCCUACAUAAAAAAGAAAAAAGAAAAAAAUCAAUAUUUCGAUCCUCUUGUCGUAAAGAUUUCUUUGGGAGUUGUUAACUUUGUAGAUUCAGAUCACUUACUUUUGGGUUACUAUUCCACUAUACCUCUUACCAUCAUACAUCCUCAUGAUUGGGAAUACAAUAUCGUUCCUGAGGCAGUCCGGUUCGGUGUUGAGAAAGCUACAGGUUCCGAAUCGUUGGAGAUAGAGUGCAAGUGUUGCGGGAUGAGAAAAUGGGGGAUCCAUUUUUUUUGAAGAGGAGGAACCAGACCCAAAAGUCUGAAAUAUUUGUAAUUGUAAUUUUAUUGUUUUUCUUUUGCCUGCCACUAUUAAAUUUUUUUUACUGAAAAACACCUCAGCAAAAUGAGGGAAACAAUUAUUCAAAUAUUAAGGAUUGCCUCAAACUUAUAUUAUUAGUCUAACAACUAUUCUCAACCAAUGUGGAAUAAUAUUUUCAAUACAAUUUAUAUGAUUCCUCGUAGGAGGUAUCUUAAUUCUUCAUUAUCGUCAGGAUUUCCUGAAGUUGUUCAUUCCUGUAAUCUCGGCGGUUGCUGGUUACUUGGAAAUGGAUCUAAAGUCGAAGCCGACAAGCCUUGUUAAUUAUUUUGGGUAAUCGCUAUUAAUAUGCUACUGCACAACCUUUUAUCAUUACUAAUAGGAAAUGUCAAUAUGAGUUGUUGGGGACAAAAUUCAUUUAUUCACGUGGCUAGUAUAAUUUCACAUUUAAAGAUACAAUAGCCACUGAUUAUUAAGACAAAUCAAAUGAACGGUAUAAAUGUAUAAUAUACUUAGCAACACUGUGAUAUUGCUUGGCAUCCUAGUUCCUGCACAUUGCUGAAUCUCUCAAAUCGGUGUGUUAUUUUUUCUAUUAAUUAAUAGAGGCAGAGCAACCGAAAAGUUGAACAGGGUCAUGAGGUCCUUUUCCUGAUGUAAUUGGAGUACGACCAGUAUUAAUAUCAGCUGCGGCUAACAAAUGCAUGUUUAGUGAAUGAAGCCCUGCUUAACCACACUCCAUUGGUACCAUCACCACUUGGUUUAAAAUUCACUUUAUUAGAAUCAUUAGAAGAGAAUGUUUAUGUACACAGGAUUGUAGCCCCUGAAUGACAGGAUUUUGAGGCGCCCCCAUGUCAUGUCAAAACAAUAUAAUGAAAGUGUUUUCAAAUCCAUUAAUCAAACUCUUCUAUUCAAUAUUAUUUUCUUUGCAUUUUUUUCAAUCCUCCCCUCAUUUUUGGACGAGAUAUAGAUGUAUUUGCUUUGUAUCGGUUAUGGUUAUGUACAUACUUUUAGACUAUGAUGGCACUGUAUCAUUUUGAAAUAUUUUCUCCUUUGUUUGGCUCAAUUUUUGUAAAAGUAUCUGUGGAAUUAGUCGUAAUUUCAUCUAAAAUAGUUAUAGCAAACUUGAUUUAUGGCCAUUAUGAAUUGUCCUUUACAAAGGACAGAUUCACAUGCUUUCAAACAGAAAUCCUCAUGACCUCUAGAGGAUUCUGAUCAAAUGCUGAUUCAUCCAACACGUCAUCACAAUUUCUUAUUUAUGCCACAAUACUGUCUGAUGCACACGAGUCGUCUUCACGACAGAGCUUUGGAUAUGAGGGGUUCAUUGAGGCAUUUUGUCGAGCACUCUGUCCAUUCUAUCAAACACCCUGCAUUGUCUAUCAUUUUCCAACAAUCUUAAUGUCCAUUCCCUGGAAUGUAAAUUCCAUGUUCAAAUUUCAUGGUAUUGCUGUUUUCCUACUAAUGAUGUUCAUAGAAAUGAUACUUUCUCCUCCCCCCAUUGAAAAUAUGCCUUAAAUAGAAUGUCCGGAUGAAUUAUACGUAAUGCACUUUUACCUCGGCAUUAUCAAAUGAGAUUACUUACCCAAUCGGUCAAUUACGUUGGACUUAUGGCUCUUUAUGAUUUGGAAAAAUUCCUGUAAGUGGAGGGAUGCAUUUUAUUUCAUAUAUUUAUUUCUCUAUUGAAGAUUCUGCUAUUUUACCAAAAAUACAAUUUUUUGAACUAUUUCCGAGUUGGUAUGAUCUAGGGCUUGGGGCAAUUAGUUUUUUUUUACUGUUCAAUUGGUGUCUCAUUAUAUAAAUUUUUUUUUUUUGUCUAAGAUAUUUAAUGAAGCAAGGCUGGUAGGGCAACACCGAAAUUACUUUAUAAGUUUUCCUUCCGCAUUAUUUGUUUGAAUUUUAUUUUAUUUUUGUUUUCAAUGCCCAAGUUUGCAUGAGAACAAUCCGGCGCAUUUUUUUUGUCACCACUCAUCUUUUAACAAUAAAUAAAUAAAAAGCCUAGAACAAUCUUUGCCAAUCAUAUAUUUUUUAGGGAAAUUGUGGUCAGGAAUCGACUUUCAUAUAUUUUUUAGGGAAAUUAUCUUUGUACUGUCUUUAUUUUGUCAUAUAUACAUCUAAUCACUGUAAAAUUUUGACAUAUUCUUUACACCACUUUUGUUUCUCAACUUGUAUCGGUCAACCACUUUAAUAUUAAAAAUGACUAUUUUACCCCUAAAUAAAUUAAAAUAUUAUUUUAUUCUUUAAAAUUUUGAAAAAUAAAAAUAUAAUUACAAGAAUACCCCUAAAUUAAUAAAACAAAUAAAUCUCAAAAUCUAAGAUGUUAAUGUUUUAUAAUUAUAAUUUCAUUUAAUUUUUGUAAGUAAAUUAAGUAUGGCAAAGUUUACAAAAAUUAACAUGAAGAAAAAAGUACCUUAUAAUGAUUGUAAACUUCCCUAUAAUUAAAAUUAACAAAUUUUUCUAUACAAAUUGAAGAUUCUGCUGUAAGAAUAACUAGUUUUGAAGUCCAACAAAAAUACACUCACUAGUUGUGUUCUUGGAAUAUCGGCUUACAAAGUAGGACUUGUUACAAAUAUAACAUAUACAAUCACCAACAUAUAGGUUUUCUAUUAACCAUCAGCUGCAGAUACAAAACUUCCAAACCCAUAAUUAGAUAGUGUUAUACAUGAUCAUAUUAGUCAAGGAUUUGUGACAAAUGUCAAAUAACCAAAGUUUAGAUAUAAGCAAUAAAAUGAAAAUAUUAUUAAAAUAGUUGUAAAGCUUACCUAUUGAAGGAAAAUUACAGCAAGAAACAAUCACAAUAUAUUCAAGUUGGAGUUGGAUUGCACUUGGAGUGGUGAUACUUGACCCUCUCAUUAUAUUUCACUAGCCCUUGUUUUUUAGUUAACCCUAUUAAAAAUUUUAAACUAAUCUUUAUCUCUCAACAUACCCCAUCUUAUAUCGAAUUUACCCUUAUUAUAAUUUUUAUCUUUUUUCCAAAACAUUGUAUAAAACUUAUAAAAUCUAUUUUAAAAAGAAAAAAAAUUUAGAGUUACUAUAAUCUCUCUCUUUCUUUUUAAAAGUUUUAUUCACCGUGACCAUAACUGUAAAAAAAAAAAUUGAGUUUUGUUCAUCAUCCUCUAUUGAGUAUUGUAAAUUAACUUCUUUCACGAUUACAAAAAUAGAGUAUACAAUAGUUGAGAAGAGACAAUAAUUUAAAAAAGUUAAAAUAAAUUAAGGUUAAAGAAAUUAGAUUAGCUAAAUUAGACAUUAAUAGAAAUUAUCAUGUGAGUGCACUUAAAAACUAUUUAUCCUUUUAAGUUAUUUUAUAUAAGGAUAAAAUAGUUAUUAAUAUAAAAGUGAUUAGUGAAGGUUGGUGAGAUAUAAUGAGGGAGUCAAAUAUGACAACUCCUGCACUUAAAGAGCAUCCAAGCACACAAAUAAUAAUAAUAAUAAUACUAGUUAUGUUGUUUCCCAUAGCUUUUAUAAGUUUUCCUGGCCCAAGCAUCCCCUCAUUGUUGCUUAAUUCAUUUCGGCCCUUUUAACCCUUCAAGUUAUUUGAGCCUACUGAGCCCACUCCAGCUUCAAUCACCAUUUCAUUUUCCCGCCUGUGUUUUGUACUCCAGACACAUAUGGGUGCUUUAUUGCACUUUAAGAAAUUAGAUUAGUUAAAUUAGAUAUUAAUAGAAAUUAUUAUGUGGGUGUAUUUUAAAAGUUAUUUAUCCUUUUAAGUCAUUUUAUAUAAGGAUAAAAUAAUUAUUAGUAUAAAAAUAAUUUGUAGAGGCUGAUGAGAUAUAAAGAGGGAGUUAAAUAUGACAGCUCUUGCACUUAAAGAGCAUCCAUCCAAGCACACCCAAAAAAAAUAAAUACUAGUAAUGUUUUUCCCGUAGUUUUUAUAAGUUUUCCUGGCCCAAGCAUCCCUUCCUUCUACUUUUCAAUUAACUUUAGAAAAGUAGACAUAUCACAAAAUUGAACACCUAGUGAAAAGAGUGUAGUAAUUAGUAAAGCACCCAUAUGUGUAUAUAUGGCUCCCACGCACAUUUCAGUCAAUUGAUUAAUUAUCUUCGCAUUCCGCAUCAUUGUAACCCAGUGUAAAGAGAAAAAUCAAUUUCUCCAUGCUUUUUUUUUUUUUUUUUUGCAGUGAGAGAGUUGUUUUCUCUUUUUUUUUUUCAUUUUAUUAAAAAAAAUUUGUUUAAUCCUCUAUUCUUUUGUUUGUCGGUAAUUUUUUAACCCAAUAAGUUUAAAAAUUUUCCACAUAAAGUGCUUGUGUAUAAUUUUAUCUUCAAUAUUUUUUCAAAUUUCACUAUAAUUAUUGCAUGUCAUAAUUCCCUAACAAACACAAAAUUCCUCUGCAGCUAAUAUAAGGCAGCUUCUGAGAAAUUAUUGGGCGUACUUCAAAAAGGAAAAAGAAAUUAAAUUUUGAAAUUUUGUUUCAAAAUAAUUUUCACAGAUAUUUAUCAUAAAUCUUUUUUUCUAAGUCUUCUAAUUCCAACUCACAGUCAGCAAGUUAAACUGUCAUUCUAGGCAUCGUCAUUGAAAUUACUGAAUCUUUAAUUCGAAGAGGGUGUUUGUGUACUUAGGAUUUUAUAGUUCCUGGACGUCAGGAUUUUAUGGCUUUCCUCAUGCCAAAAUAAUGAAUUCAAAGUGUAUUUGAUCAUUCCCUUUUUAUCAUAUUCUUUAUUCUUUAUUUUGUUUUUGUUUUCACGGACGAGAUAGGGACUCAGCUAUCUUGCAACAGUUGCAAGGUACCAUCAAAUUUUGUCUUUUCUUAAUUUCAGUCCUUUGCCAUUAGAUUUAGUGAAAAUAUAGUUUCAAUAGUAGAGAUUUGUACAUUUAAAUAUUAACAUUACACUUUCUGAUAUUUAUUAAAAGCACAAACAAGUUAAAAAUGUAAAAGUUUUAGCACAUAAGUCUGGAUUGUUUACAAUUUAUAUUGUUUAAUUAGUAGUGAGUAUUAAAAAUAAAUUUUAUUUUUAAUAUUAUAUAUUUUAUUUAAAAGAAUAAAUUUUUAUUAUUAUUUAUUUUAUUAAAAAUAAAUGUUAUUUAAUAUUAUUUAUUCUAUUUUAUUUAAUAUUAUUUAGUCAUAUGCUUAUUAUUAUCUUUAUUCUCUCAAAAAACUAAAUAACAUAAAAUAAAAUAAAAUAAUCAAUAGGGAGCCUUAAAAAUAAAUAUUAUUUUAAUAUUUUUAUUUUUGUUUAUUUAAUAUUAUUUAAUCAUAGGCUUAUUAUUAUAUAUUUAUUUUUUAAAAAAUAAAUAAUAUUAAAUAAAAUAAAAUAAUCAGUAGUGAGCCUUAAAAAUAGAUAUCAUUUUUAAUAUUAUUUAAUUUUAUUUUAUUUAAUAUUAUUUAGUCAUAGGCUUAUUAUUAUAUUUAUUCUUUCAUAAAACUAAAUCAUGUUAAAUAAAAUAAAAUAAUCAGUAAUGAGUGUUAAAAGAUUAAUAUUAUUUUUAUUUAGUCAUAGGCUUUUAAUUAUAUUUAUUCUUUAAAAAACUGAAUAAUAUUAAAAAAUAAUAGUGUCUUAAAAAAUAUCAUUUUUAAUAUUAUUUAUUUUAUUUACUUUAAUAUUAUUUAGUCAUAGACUUAUUAUUAUAUUUAUUCUUUUUUAAAGAGAUAAAUAAUGUUAAAUAAAAUAAAAUUACAUUUUAGAAAGUUACUAGCCAAAGUAUAUAAACUUAUAAAUAAAUGAAAAAAAUAAUAUUAAAUAAAAUAAAAUUACAUUUUAAAGAGGUGCUAUUUCGUAGAGAUAAGAUGCUCGAUUCAGUAUGUUCCAUCAAACAAUUGCUCCACCAUUUGGCAUUUUUGUAGAUAAGCUAUCUUAAUCUGAUUAUUUUGUAGAUAAACUUCAAUGUACAAAACUCAGUCGUUUUGCAGCCGUUUGAUUAACCAUCAACAACUUGUAAUCCUGUGACAGUUUGAAACCAGAACAUAAUUAGUAUAAGCACAUAAAUUUUAGGAUCGAUUUAGACAUGGUAUGGUUUGAGUAUUUCUAACACUUCCUAGUGAUGCAUCUAUAGGAGUUUCUUUUAGAAAAUAUAUCAUUAAAUUGGCCAUCUUGACCAUUGACCAUCGUCUGAUUAUUAUUAUUUUUUAUCUCGCUUACCACGUUGAUAGUGCGGCAUUUUGGGUACUACAAAAAGCACAACGACGAUUAAAGAGCUGCUUCAAAUAAUUCAUCUUUCACUUUUGUUGGGUGAAGUGCCGCUUAACUACUUCAUGAUCCCCCCAGCACUUGAAGAGGGUACGUGUUUGUGUACUUAAGAGUUAAGACUAUCUAUAGUUUCUAUUUGUUGGGACUGUACGGUCUGCCCUAUUAAGCUUGCAUGGAACUUAACGUCGUAUUGCUAUAGUGUCACAAUAUAUACACGUUACAGCUAGCGAAAAUAACGAAGGAGAUAAUAAGUAAUACACUCCUUAACAUGAUGAACUACUGCACUUCUAAACAUAAUGAAAUACAACCAACUAAGAACGUGAAGAUCACGUUCAGCUAUUACGCCCCCGCAAGAGAGGUAUACCGUCGAGAACACCGAGCUUGGACCGUGCAUGCUCAAGGGGAAGCCGGGGAAGCGGCUUGGUUAAGAUAUCAGCGAGCUGAUGCUCCGAAGGAACAUGAGCAAUAGACAGCAAACCUUGCGCAAUCUUAUCACGAACAAAGUAAAAGUCAAUUUCCACAUGCUUCAUACGAGAGUGAUAUCUAGGAUUUGUGCAAACAUGAGUGGCACCAAGAUUGUCACAGAGCAGCUUGGGCAUAGGGGUCCGAAUACCAAGUUCGGAGAACAAGUGUCGAAGCCAACAAAGCUCAGAAACGGUAGCAGCAAUGGCGCGAAACUCGGCUUCAGUAGAGGAACGUGCCACAGACUUUUGCUUCUUCGAAGACCAGGAAAUGAGAUUGCCACCAAGGAAGAUAGCGUAAGCACUCGUAGAGCUGCGAUCAUCAAGAUUGCCCCCCCAGUCAGAAUCACUAUAAGCAGCAAGUAUAGAGGAUGAAGACUGACGAAGAAAAAGGCCAUGAAAAAUUGUAGCUUUCAAGUAGCGGAGAAUGCGCUUGGCAGCCUGCCAAUGCAACUGAGAGGGACUUUGCAUGAACUGAGAUAGUUUGUUGACCGCAAAGCAGAUGUCAGGACGAGUGAGAGUGAGAUAUUGCAAGGCACCAAGAAGCUGACGAUAAGACGUACCAUCAGCAGAGACAGAACCAUCGGUUUGUUGAAGACCAACGGUGGCAGACAGAGGAGUGGCAAUAGGUUUAGCAUCAGUCAUGCCAAACCGGUCCAAGAGAGAACGAACAUAGUGAUGCUGAGAGAGAAACACACCAGAAGGAGUGCGAAGCAACUCAAGCCCGAGAAAAUGAUGCAGAGAGCCAAGGUCCUUGAGAGCAAAAGUGGAAGCAAGACGAUGAAUGAAGUGCUGAAUAACCCGGCCAUGAGAACCAGUAAUAAUUAAGUCAUCCACAUAGACAAGGAAAUAAAUACGAUGACCAUCACGGUGAUAAAGAAAAAGAGAAGCAUCAGUCCUGCUUUGGUGGAAUCCAUAGGACAGCAAAAAUUUGUACAGAGUAAUAAACCAUGCCCGAGGCGCCUGCUUAAGGCCAUACAGGGACUUACGUAGCCUGCAGACAAAGGAAGGCUGGUUAGAGUCAAUAAAACCAGGCGGCUGCUUCAUGUAAACCUCCUCAUCAAGAGAACCAUUGAGGAAGGCGUUAUUGAUAUCCAACUGACGAAUCGGCCAACCAAAUUGCAAGGCUAAACAAAGAAUAACACGAACAGUAGUGGUCUUGACAACAGGGCUGAAAGUAUCGUGGUAGUCGAGACCAGGACGCUGAGUAAAGCCCUUAGCAACCAGCCGCGCUUUAUACCUGUCAACAGAACCAUUGGGGUGGCGUUUGACACGAAACACCCACUUACAACCAACCAAAUUUUGAGAAGGUACAGGAGGAACAAGAUCCCAAGUAUGAUUAGAAAUAAGAGCAUUAUAUUCAAUACGCAUGGCCUGAAGCCAUUGCGGGUCGGCAAGGGCAGCCUUAAUACUAGUUGGUUCAACAGUAGAGGGCAGCGGAUGUGUGGAAAUAAUAGGAGCGAGGGUAGUGUGGUCAAGCUGUUUUGGUUUAUAAAUGUUAUUGCGUGACCGGGUUAUCAUUGGAUGGGUUCGGGUCGGCAGUGGAGGUGGAGGUGUUGGUGGUGAUGGUGAUGGGGCUGUUGGUGACAACGGGAAAGUAGAUGGGGCCGGUGAUGAAAGAUUAGAAAUGGGAGAUGAGGGAGUUAGUACUGGUGCAUGGACAUGGGGAGGUAAAGAGUCAUAAGUAUGAGGGUUAUGAAUAAUACCCGAAGUAGAGGUGGAAGAGGCCGGUGAAGAAUCGGAGCUAGCAGGAAGCGAAUCCGAAGUUGCAAGACGGGAACCACCAGGAGAAGAGGAGUGAGCCGACAGAACCGGGACGGAAAAAAUGGAUGGAAACCAGGAGGUGAGUGAAACAGAGGAGGGAGAGGCAGUGGAUGUGAGAGAUUGAUAGGGAAAUUGAGACUCAAUAAAUUGAACAUCACGGGAAACAUAAAUCUUACCAGACUGAACAUCUAAACACUUGUAUGCACUUUGUUGUAGGCAAUAACCGAGAAACACACAAGGCUUGGACUUGGGCUCUAGUUUGUUGCGCGUAUAUGGGCGUAACCAUGGGAAACAGAGACACCCAAAUACACGUAGUUUGUCAUAAUUAGGAUGGGCAUCAAAUAAGAGCUGGAACGGACAGGUCAUGUAUGUAGUUUUGGAUGGUAGACGAUUAAUUAAGUAGGUGGCGGUUUGAAACGCAAACGUCCAAAAGCUAGGAGGUAGUGAGGCUUGAUGCAGUAACGCCAACCCCGUCUCAACAAUAUGUCGAUGACGACGUUCGGCGACUCCAUUAUGUUGUGGUGUGUAGGGUGGUGUAAACAAGUGAUUAAUGCCCGUCUGUUGAAAAAAUGAAGUGAGUUUGAGGAACUCACCACCACCGUCGGUGUAAAUAUUACGAAUAGUAGUACGAAAAUAAUUUUCAACAAGUGUUUUAAAACGAACAAAUGUAGAGAAAACAUCAGAUUUUAGUCGUAACGGAAAAAAACCAGACAUACUUAGUAAAAUGAUCAACGAAAAUCACAUAGUACUUAUAAUUAUCAAAGGAAGUAACAGGGGCAGGACCCCAAACAUCAGAAUAUAUUAAAUCCAAGGGACGAGUACUACAUAAAGAAGAUUUGCCAAAAGGGAGCCGAUGGCUCUUAUUGCAUAAACAAGACUCACAAGACUCAAAAUCCAAGUGCGAAGACAAAUUGAAAGUACGAAGAACAAAUUUCAAAAUAUCCCUAGACGGAUGGCCUAGACGUUGAUGCCAAUGAGCGGCAUUAGUUUUUAUUGUAGCAUUUGAAGUGGGCAAGGCUGGUACGGGGAAAGAAGAAGCUGCCGGCCACUCAUAGACACCCUGAUUAUUCCGGCCUUGCAAGAGGACCGCCCCCGUGCUCAAAUCCUUCACCUGAAAAUGAUCAUGAAAGAAUUCAAUGAAGGCUUUAUUAACAUUGCAAAAUUGAGACACAGAGAUUAAAUUUCUGUUGAUAGUCGGAACAUAAAGAAUAUUUUGCAAAUAAAAUUUUGAGCUAGAGGUACAUAAGGAAGUUGAGCCAGUGUGAGAUAUACCAAGACCCAUGCCAUUACCAACAAUGACGGAAUCAGAACCAUGGUAAGGACUAUGAGUGCUCAAAUUUCGGAGAUCUCCUGUAACAUGAUGUGAGGCGGCACUGUCGACUAACCAAUUGGGGUUGGAUGUGCCUGUGGUUGCUGUGUGGUUCAUAGUCGGACUGUUUUUGUGGGAGGUAAAAUCUGGACAAUCUCGUGCUGUAUGACCCUUGGUACCGCAAAGUUGACAGUAGCCCUGGUACCCGGUGGGCUGCUUCUUUUGAUAUCCUCCAUUGUUGCGAUACUGGCCUUGUGGGUUGCGAUUCUGAGACUGGUAAUUUCUGUUGUUGUUGCCAUUUUGAUUUGGAUACCCACGGUUAGAACCAUUAUUAAAUCCCGGAUUGCUGUCUCUUCUCUGGUUCUGAUAAGGGCCACGGUUUGUUGUUUGUUGUUUGACUGCGGCAUUGACAGUGAUAGCCGUGUCCAUGGAUUUUUCCUCUCGCUUCAACAUAUCUUCGUAAUCUACAAGCUUUUCAUACAGCUCAUCAAAGGAAAGUGGUGUCUCACGGAUCCGAACACCAGCAAUAAUUUCUUUGAAAUCUUUUCCUACGCCAUUAAUAAUUUGUAUAACGAGAUCAUCAUCUGUAACAGGAACAUCAAUCAAAGUAAUUUCAUCAGAAAUAGAACGUAAGUUAUUUAAAUAUUCGGCAACAGGUUGUCCAUCACGACGAGGUCGUGCAAGUCGUUCUCUAAGAGAGAUGACGCGACUACGGCUACGAUUGGAGUAUAGCCGUGCAAGCUUAUCCCACGCUUGUUUGGAUGUUGUGGAACUAGCUAUGAGUGGGGCAACUCUUUCGGUGCAGGAGGCUAGGAUGGAAUGAAAGAUCAACUGAUCUUGGCGUUUCCAUAAGGUAUAGGCUGUGUUGAUGGUAGGCGGACCAUUACUGCUGCCAGUUUCAUACGGAGAAGGGCACUCAGAUGUGCCAUCAAUGUAACAUGUCAGAUUGUAGCCAAAAGCUAAAGAGAGGAAUUGCGCUCUCCAUGUAAAAUAAUUUUCAGGUGUAAGCCGUAUAGGCAAUUGGGCAGCGGCGUUGAUUGAAACACAAUCAUUAGCUUGGUUAUUUGAUGAGUGGGGACUUUGGUUGGCUGGUGAGGUAGAGGAGAUGGCUGAGGGUUCGGCAGCCAUGGUGAAAGAAAAGAAAAAAGAAGGAUCGAUUUACUCUUGUUAGAGAGAGAAAGAGGGCUCUGAUACCAUAUUAAGCUUGCAUGGAACUUAACGUCGUAUUGCUAUAGUGUCACAAUAUAUACACGUUACAGCUAGCGAAAAUAACGAAGGAGAUAAUAAGUAAUACACUCCUUAACAUGAUGAACUACUGCACUUCUAAACAUAAUGAAAUACAACCAACUAAGAACGUGAAGAUCACGUUCAGCUAUUUGCCCUUCUGUCAUAACAAUGGAUUCAAAGUGUAUUUGAAUUCCACUUAUCAUAUUAAUUAUUCUGUUUAUUAUUUUGUUUUUGCUUUUUCGUUUUCAUUUUUCAUUAUACAUACAUACAUACAUACAUACAUACAUACAUAUAUAUAUGAAUUUUUACAAAAGAUGAUUUUGUCUUUGUAAUGUAAGUUUAACAAAGGUUAUAUUUGUUGAUUUAUACAUAUAAUAGAUUGUUUCAAUCUCCUAACAAGAGGAACAAAAGUAAUUACAAAUGAUUUGUCAAAUUUUGUUAAGUUACAAAAUAGUAUAUUAUACACUCAAAUCUAACAUCAAAUACAUAGCAAACAACAACUUCAAAAGCAAAAUCCCUAGAAGCAACUCCCAUAUCUUCAUCAACCAACGGCUUCAAAAGCAUCCCAUGAUUUUUGUUAAUAAUUCAUAGUUUCAUGACUGCAUAUUUUUAUUGAGUGAAGCCUUGCUUAAAAAACCCAUUCCACGAUCCCAGUCCCACCACGCACUUUGUAUAAAAUUCAAUUUAUUAGAAUAAUUAGAAUCAUUAGAAGAGGAAAUAUGUUUGUGUACUUUGGACUACAUAUGGUUCCUGAACGUUGGGAUUUUACGUGUGCCCCUUGCCUCCAUGUCAAAACAAUAUAUUUAAUUAAAGUGCAUUUGAAAUCCAUUAAGCAUAUUCUUCUAAUCUUCUCUUCAUUAUUUUGUUUUUGUAUAUGUUUGAUCAGUUCUGGUCGGUUAUAUAUACACAUGUACCAUUUGGAAAUAUCACAUUUUAUUCCCCAAUGCGAUAUAUUUUCUUCUCCAUUGAAGGUUCUCUGAAUGCUAUUAACCAAAAAAUGCAACAUUCUGUUCUGUUUAUGAAUUGGGAUUAUUUGCUUCUGGCUGUCACUGACUCAUUGAACAUUAGCAAUAUAGCAUUAGGUAGUGCCAGCUCUUUUCUUUUUUGUCUUUGUCUUCUCUAGUUCGAGCUACAAAUCCAUGUUCCGAUGAAUUCCUUUUCCAUCUCCUCUCCAUUGUUUGGCUUCAAUAUUUUGGAUUUGAAGUAAAUUUUCCGCAUAUUUAUUUUGCAUCAACCUUAACAUUGUAUGUGAAAAAAUUCUGCAUAUUUAUUUUGUCCUGCAGAGACGAUUUUUUGAAACUCACAUACAAUAACAUAAGGCAGCUUCAAAGAAAUUACUGGGUGGAGUUCAAAAUGAGAAAAGAAAUUAAAUUUUAUUGGACCACCGUCAUGAAAUUUUAAAUUUUUUGGACCACAAUCCGCCUUUGUCUUUUCAUGUGAUUGCAAGCUACUCGAUGACAUUGAUUGAUCAUUGACACACGCACACGGAUAAGUCAGUGUUUACGGGGAAAGAUAAUAUAUAUAUAUAUAUAUAUUCCACUAUUAAAAUAGGGAAUAUAAAUAUUGAAAUAUUUAUCUUACAAUCCAAAUUCUUAAUACAAUCAAGUUCUCAGAUCACUCGAGAACAUUUUAGUUAUCUCAGUUACUAAAGAAUUGCAUUUUAGUUAUCUCAGUUACUAAAGCUUGCUUCUCAUAAAACACACGUUAAGUUUUCAAAUUGUUGGAGAACUUUUCUCUCACUGGCUCAUGAAUUUUGCAUCCAAUUUAUAAACAAAUCUAGAUUUCAAAUGUAAAAUUAUGAUUUUUUGUCCUUCACAUCCAGCAUCCAAGAAGGCUCAAGGAAAGUAAGUAAUCGUGAGUAUGAAUCUAUUAAAAAAUAUGCUCUGAGAUUAAUUGUUCUUUUAGAUUAAUUGGUCUUUUAUUUUAUUUUUAUUUUUAUUAUUUUCUUUAGUGACGGUGGCGAAUAUUAUUUACGCCUUUUUUUAUUAUUAAUUUUUAGCUAUCAUUCCCUAUUUCUUUCCUUUGGAAAAACGCUGUUCAACAAUAACCAUAAAGCUGCAAUUUAAGGCCCUACUCUUCAGCAAAAUUAUUGUGGAGGGUGCAGAAAUAGUAAUAGAGUGUUUUAGUCUAUUCAGUGUGCAAAUAACCCAAUGUUAUAAGAGUUAUGAAUAUAUGUUGUAUGUAUUUGUAAUAUUUUUGUUUUGGGCGGGGGUUAUAUUAAUUUAAGAAUUUAACUUAAAUCUAGACAUCAAAAUAUGACCAUUUAUUUCGUUCAAUCAAUUAACACACGAGGAUUGUUUGUUGAUUGGAGAGGCUAAAACUGAGUGGGAAAGUAAAGCAACAGAGGAAUAGAAAAGAUCUAUGACAAAGAUCGAUGAACAGAAGUGGAGAGGAACAACAGUGGGCAUGAUCUAAUAUUGAAUUACAAAUAUGUUGGCCUUACGGAAUAUGUCGUUGACAAAAUUAUGGAGUAUUGAUUUCUUGGGGAUGAAUAUGAUUUGUGAGAAUGGGGAUGAAUUUUGUUUCCCCCAAUUUAGGUUAGGAAUUGCUAUUACUAGUAUAAUCGUUGAGGAAUGAGGAAAAAGAGUCGGUAUUCUCUCUCUUCCUUUAUUAAGUUUUAAUAUGUCAUCUAUGUUUUUUGUUUUCUGAAUCUUAUUUUAUUAAAGUUUUACUAUCACAUAAUCAAUCAUCUCAUACCUUAGAAUGAAUUAAAUAAAUUUUAAAGUUUUGAUGCUUAGAUUACAAUCAUAUUCUUAAGUUAAAAUAUCCCCUCCCGUUUGUUUUUUAUCUAAAAAAAGAAAAAAAAACAUUGGUACUAAAAAAUAAAUAAUCUUAUUUUUACUGAAAAUACAAUAUUUUUAGUCUUCUAAUUUGUUUAUUUUAAAAGUAACUCAUUCACUGCUUUGCAAAAUCAAAAUCUCCUGUGGCAAUGAAUUGAUUUUACAAGAAGUAAUUUUAAUAGUUUUUACCAACCAUUUAAAUUCAUCAUUAGCUUCUCAAUAUCACUUUUGAAAAUCCCAACAACAAUCUCAAAUUGGUCAAUAAAUUACUUCAUUUUCUAAAUAGUAAACAUAAAAUGAUGGAAAUAAUUUUUAUAUCAUGAAAGUAAAAAUAAUUUUAUUAUUUGUAUCAAAUUAAUAUUAUUUAGAUAUAUUUAUAUUUAAUUAUUAUGUUAUUAAAUUAUCAAAUAAUAAAAAUAAUAUUUUUAUUCACAAUAAGACAAAUUUAGAGAAAAAUUAGAUGGUGUUUGCUAGGAAAACUUAAGAAGGAAAUUAAUAUGGAACUGUCCCACCACUUGGGAUUCUUUCACGGAGCGUUUCAGUGGAUCUCAUUGAAUUUUAUUUUGAAAAAUCAAUUGAUAAUACUGGGAUGGUAUAGCCUGAUAAUACUCUGAGCGGUCCCUUCAACCUUUUUAGUUGUCGUACACGAAUUAUUUCUUCACUUGAAAUAAAAGUCAACAAAGCUGCAUCUUCACUGAAAUUAUUGUCCACAGUGCUUCCUGGAAAAUGAGAUAAAGAUAAUUUUGAAGAAACUUUUAGGAAGAUUCCAAGCAUUAAUAAUUAUUUAUAUUUACUUAUAAUAAAUUACUUUUAAUAAUAAUAAUUUAUAUCAUGAGUAUUUCUAUUAUAAAAUUUUUAUAUGAAUGUAAGUGCAUAAAAUAAUUGUUUAGAGUGUAAAUAAUCUCGUCUAAUUGAUAAUCCUCGCUAAUCAAAUACAAUUUGUUAAUAGGGCACGAGUCACUGCCCCCCUUGAGAAUUGAGCACAGAAGCAUUUACUAUUUUCUAUGGUGGAUUGUUGGGAAAUUUACACCCUUUCCACAUUUUUCCCUGGAAGGUUCCAAGCAUCGUUUUACUCUGCACAGACACUGCAGUCACCAACGUUUGCUCGAGAAAAAUACGCCGAAUUUUCCGGGAAAUUUUUUGCUUUUUCUCUUCAAAAGUAAAGUUUGGGGACAGAAAUGUUAAAGGUUUAAAGGUGGGUACAAUUAUUCUUCUUGUUGUUAUUUACGCAUUGCCUUCCAUUCACAUUAGUCGGUCUUCAAUUAAUUUUAGAUAAGGAAAUGAAACUACCACAAAAUUAACUCCAAGUGAGGGACUACUGAAGCAGCCAUAUAUUCCACGCGCAUUUUAUUCAUUUAAUUAACUUAUGAUCACAUCCCACAUCAUAUUAUUAUUGUAUCAACUUGCACGGUCGUAACAAUUAACAGAAAUUUUCAUUAAAAUUAUUACAUUAAUUUUAAAAUAGAAAUAAGAAAAAAAAAUCUUAAUACUGAAAAAACAUAAGAUGAAAUCGUGUGUCAUUUGUCACGAGUCAAACUUUUGAGAAAAAUACACGAAUGAAUGUGGCGCGUAAAAGGUGUUGAUGUACUAUCAACAUUUUCAUUUUAUUUUUAUUUAACUUCCAUAUAUUUUUUUUAUAAGCUGUCAUCAAUUAUUUGUUUCUUGCUCUGCGCGUGCACGACAAGACCUACUAUUUGCACCCUUUUAACCCUUUUAGUUGUCAUGCACUAUUUUCCUUCUUCACUUGAAAUGAAACAGUCGGUAAAGCUGCAUCUUCAGUCGAAUGUAAACUUUUUAAGAAAAUAAACAUGUUAGCAACCAAUCAGGGGCAUGAAAAUGGUUGUACAUAUAUAUAUUUGCUGACAAUUCCUCUUUGAAAUUAAUCGUCUUUUAUAUUAUCUUUCAAAAUAUAAUAUAUCUGAUCACAUGGAUUAAUUUAGAGGAUAUAUAAUUUCAAUGAAAGACUACUAAUCGAGGGCAGUUUCGAUUCUGAUUGAAUGGUAGAUGUAUAUAUGAGCAUCAUUCUAAUCAUUAAAUUGCUAAAAUUAGGAAGUUAACUUCGAUCCAACAAUUAACUUUAAUGGAGCAGCAGGGAGUUGUUUUCUUGUUUAAUUGUUUUGUUUAUGUUAGAGUUAUUUUAUUAAUAAAAAAUUGGGUUAUUAUCAUUUCACUAUUUUAAAAAUUGUGAAAUAUCAAAUGACUACAACAAGUAUUGUCUCUUAUCAAUUUUCUAUUAUAUCUUUAUAAAAAUAUCAUUUUACUACUUUUUUGUUAUAACCAUUAGUUGACCAAUUAAUUGACUAACAAAAUACCAAUUUUCACCCUUCAUGAUUAAAAAAAAAUACUUAAAACUUAUUUACAAAAUAAAUUUGUAAUAUAUUUAUUCAAAUGAAUAUAAAAUACGGGAAAAGGACAAACACACCCCUAACGUUUAAGCAAAGGGACAAAAACUCCCCUAAUGUUUCAAAAAAGACAUUUACACCCAAAUUUAUUAUAAUUUUACUAUUAUACCCUUCUAGCAUAUAUAUAAAAAAUUAUUAGAUUAUCCAAUUUGUCUAUAUAUUGUUAAUAAAAUUAUAAAUAGACCCUCAUUGCCUCAUUCUUCUAUUUAAAUUUUUAUCAAUAACCAAUUUUCAAAAAAGACAUCUACACACUUAAAAAAAAUUAUAAAUAAAUUAUAAUUUUAAAAAUAAAAUUGGUUAUCAAUACCAUAAUAAAUAACAUAGAAAAUUAGUUAUAAAUAUACAAGUUUAAAUGAUUGACAUGUGGAGAAUCGUUAAAUAUGCAAGUUUAAAGUUUAAAUAAAAUUGGUUAUUAAUAACUAAUUUUAUUUUAAACUUAUAAUUUAUUUACAAUUUUUUUAGGUGUAUAGAUUUUUUUUUUUCAAAUUGAUUAUUGAUAAAAAUUUAAAUAGAGGAAUUGGGCAAUGAUGGUAUAUUUAUAAUUUUUUUAUAAUAUCCAACUAGUCUAUUUAUAAUUUUAUUAAUAAUAUAUAGACAAAUUGGAUAAUCUAAUAAUUUUUUUAUAUGUUAGAAGGGUAUAAUGGUAAAAUUAUAAUAAAUUGGGGUGUAAAUGUCUUUUUUGAAAUGUUAAAGAGGAUUUUUGUCCCGUUACCUAAACGUUGGGGGUGUGUUUGUCCUUUUUCCUAUAAAAUACCAACAUAAUUCUUUUUGCUGGAAUUAUGAUAUAUGAAUUACAAAUUUAUCUUAUUAUUUUUUUAAUCAUGAAGGGUAAAAUUGAUAUUUUAUUAGUUAACUAACUGGUCAACUAACGGUUGUAACGAAAAAGUAGUAAAAUGAUAUUUGUUGUAACAGAAAAGUAGUAAAAUAAUAUUUUUAUAAAGAUAUAUUAUGAAAAUGAUAGGAGAUAAUACUUGUUGUAAUCAUUUGAUAGUUGACAAUUUUUAAAGUAGUAAAAUGAUAAUAACCCUAAAAAAUUUAGUUAAAAAAGGGUCUAAUGAAUAUUUUGGAAGGUUUAAAUAACCUCACCCCCCCUUUUUUUUUUAUAAUGGAUGCUUUUAUGAUUUUAUCCUCACCAACCUAAUUUAUAUGAAAUAGUAUACUAAUGUUAGGGGAGGUAUUUGAGAAUAUGUGAAUAUAAUUUAUUAAACGGAGAAUACGCCAAAAAUUAGGGGAGGUUUCUGAUAAUUACCCUUUUAGUUACUCCUCCUCAAUCCGUCCAAGGGCAUGAACUUGAGGGAAGGGUCAGGUUCUGUGGUGGUGUUAAUAAAAAGAUAAAUUACAUUGGAAAGUAAGUGGCGUUUGUUGGGAAAUUCACACCCUUUAACCUUUUAGCUGUCAUUCGCUGUUUUCUGAUCAAAAUGAGUCAACAAAGUGAUUCAACUUCCAAGCACCGACAUAUUCCACAGUUCUUUGAUUCAAUUAAUGUUUUAUCUUAUCAAAAUCUAUCUAAUCAAUUGAACUGUUUCUGCUAUGGCUUCAGGUACCAGUACCACAAUUAACAUGUAAAUUUGAAGGAUCAUGCUACGUUACAAAUUAUAAAAUGGGGUGUCUGAUCUACUUAGACCCACCACCAGUUAAUCCAUUGGGCUUAUCUUAAUUUUGCCUAACAUAAUCUGUACGGUAGGCGAGCCCAAGUGUAAAUAAAUCAUGUGUUUAAGAAGAAGCGUUAAAAAGUUGUUAAAUAAUUCUACAUAUUGUGGAAGUGGUGUAAAUCGUGUAUUUAUAGAAAAAAAUGUAUUGAAAAAUCUAAGUCAUAUAUUGAUCUACAAGUGAGUGGUCCAUAGACACUCUGUAGUUAAUUAGAGGAGCUGUUGAUUUGAGAUAUGAAUUUACAAAUGUAAAUUCAUGAGAGAAAAACAAAAUUUUCUGGUCAAAAUCUUUGAACACUGUAGUUAAUUGAAUGAAACACAUCGCAUUUUCUGGGAAAUAUUUUAGCUUUUUGUCAUUGCCUCACAUUAGUCGGUCUUCAGUGGUAGUGAAGCAUCCAUAUCUUUUACGUGCAUUUCAUUCAAUUAAUUUAUUAUCAUCACAUCCCACGUUAUUGUUUCAACUUGCACCGUCCGAAUAACUAACAAGAAUCUUUAUUGAAAUUAUUGUGCCACUUUUAGAAAAGACAUAGGAAAAAAGUUGAAUUCACAAGUCCAACUUUAAAAAGGCCGAAAAAAAAAAAAGACUGGAGUAGAUGUCACAAGUAUUAAAUGCAUUGAUGAGGUUUCAACAUUUUUUAAAAAUAUUUUUAUAUAAUUUUUUACCAAAGUUCAAAUAACUAUUUUCAAUUAGUUUUAAAGUAAUAUAUAUAAGAUGAUGAUGAUAAUACGGGAUCAACAUAAACAUAAAAUUCAUUGGUGCUCCAUCAACAUUGAUUUUCCCAUCUCUUCAGUAAAUGUUUUACAUAUUUGUUUUGCAUCUAAUUUAAUAUUAUUGAAAGUUAAUAGACGUGAUUAGUAAUAAAUAGAAGACUAAAAAUAUUUAAAGAAAUAGGGCUAAGCGUGCUGCGUGCAUGAAAAUAAAUACAAGAGAUUAAAUGAAAAGAAAAGAUUGGGUGGUUGACUUCAAAAUGGACACAUAAAAUAAAUUUUGAAUUUUGUUUCAAAAUAAUUUCCAGCAUACAAAUUUAAUUAUAUAGUAACUCCUUUUUCUAUGUCUUCUAAUUUCAACCUACAGUCAGCAAGUUAAACCGUUAUUCUAGUUCUAGGCAUCUUCAUUGGGAUUAUUGCAUCUAUACUUUACCAAAGGGAAAAAAAAUUGUCACGAAACAGCGUGGAAGGUUCAGAGAAAAUAUUUGCUAGUGUUUUCUUUUUUUUAAAUUUAAUUGGUUGAAUUUAUUUUUUUAUUUUUUUUAAAAAAGAAAACUGUAUUACAAAACUUCCCGGUAGGUUCCACAGAACUAUCUAAUAAAGCAUCUUUAUAUAACCUCCAUUGACACAGUCGCAUUAAAUUAUUUUCACAUCCCAAAUUUUCUCAUCUGAUCAAAUCUCUCAUCCACUGAACUGUUAUGGCUUCUUCUUCCUCUUGUCCACCUCGAAACGCUAAGAAGAUGUAUGACGUUUUUCUGAGUUUCAGAGGAGAGGACACCCGUGACAACUUUACUAGCAUUCUUCACCUUUUUUUGUCUAUGAAAAGUAUCAAAACUUUCGUUGAUGACCAACUUAUCAGAGGAGAGAACAUUUC
RNAcentral lists this long non-coding RNA (48119 nucleotides) under Citrus maxima (pomelo). Its description in RNAcentral is "long non-coding RNA (CMAX_LNC001916)". The record is from RNAcentral. Lineage: Eukaryota; Viridiplantae; Streptophyta; Magnoliopsida; Sapindales; Rutaceae.